Molecule: long non-coding RNA, 55642 nt
Filed under: Eutrema salsugineum
Lineage: Eukaryota; Viridiplantae; Streptophyta; Magnoliopsida; Brassicales; Brassicaceae
Description: long non-coding RNA (ESAL_LNC001430)
Source: RNAcentral
GAGAUUUUAGGGUUAGCAAAAUGUAUAUUCUUUGCUCUUGAGGCUUUUUGGUCUUCAUGAUUUCAGAUUUUCUUUGUGUUAAGAGACUUCUUUGUUUGUUUGUUUUAGGAAGAAGAACAAAUGGAUACUCAGAGCAUUAAAACCGAAAACCAGCCAAAACCUGCAGUUUCGACAUCUUGCAGGAAGCAUGUGAAGGAUGAUAAUGCAACUUUCCUUGCAAACCUCAAGGAACACUUCAACGAAUUUGUCAAUGCCUCAAUGGAUGAACACAAGACUUGCUUCAAAAACACCAUGGACAAGGUUUUUUUUCUCAAAUUCUCUCUUAUCUCCUCAGACUCACAUUCUUUGUCAUAUUCAUCUAUCACAUUAACGAUCUUAUGAAUAUCUGUCUAAUGCUAUUGGUUAUUUUUUAGUGUUAAACUGUCUCUUAAACGUAUCUUGUUCCUUUGUCUAGAUAAUGGGGAGGUCGAAUGCAGUUGAAGAGAAGAAGGUUGAGUCUACGGAAGUCAAGAUUCAGGCGCCUCUUCAGGCAGCAGAUUCAUCUUAAAAGUUCUCAACUUGUAGUUGGCUUUUAACCAAAAAAAAAAAAAAUUAAUCCUAUUUUUCUUGUUUAACAUUAGAAGUUGCAGAACAAGUUUCUAUGAUGUGCAAAAAAUAUCUUCAAGUGUUUGGGUGUUAAUAAUAUCUUCGUAAAACCCCGCUUUUUGGUUUUUUUUUUUAUUUUUUAUUUUUUUGACUUCUUGAUUGCCAAUCUUAAAUCAUAAAGGCAAUGGCAUGAAGAACUAUCUUAUACUUGUUGCACUUUUAAAAUUAGACUAGAUUUUAUUUUGUUUUAAUCAAAAUUUAUAAUUUAGUUUAUGUUUUCUUUAUAAAUAUAAUUUUUUAAUAAGUGAUGUAAAAAAAAUUUGUGUUUAGAUAUAUAUUAUUUUAAGUAUUAUUAUGACCACCAUGAUCAUAAAAACAUAAUUUUAACCCAGUUAUUUUAUUAAUCAAAAAGUGACCAUUAUUAUAAAAAUAUAUUUCUAACUCGUUCAUUUUAUUAAUCUGAAAAAGGAUUAUGAAACCAUAAUUCUAACCCGCCCGUUUAUACUAUUUUAGAAUAGAAAUAUUUACUAAUUUUAAAAUAAUUUUCUCUUAAUAUCUUGCAUGCUUUGAUAACCUAACCCGAAUAAAACCAUAAUUAUAAAACUUAUCCUAUCAAAUUAUUAUAUAAUAUUAAUAUUUAUCUAUUUUUAAUAUGUGAAAUUUUAAUCUGAUAGAAUAUGAUUAAAAAAUAUAAUAAAAUAUUUAUCAAUUAUAUAUGUUAUUCGGAAAAUCUUACUUAAAUUUCAAAUGUUAAACUAAAUCUAACCUAUAUUUAAGGAAGUCUAUUUAAAUUAAUAUCUAUAGAUUAUAGAUAUAUCCUAUAUUUAAGAAAAUUUUUAGUUAUUUAAAUUAAUAUUUAAUUUUCGGAAUUAAAUUUAUAUAUAUAAAAAUAUUUUUUUAAAAAAAAAUUUUUGGAAACAAACGAUAAAAGUGUUUCUGUUUUAAUAUAAUAGAUAAAUAUGUAUGUUUAAUUCUCUAUAUUUUACAAACAUGCAUACAGUAAUACCCAGACAUACGUAUAUCGCCGUGGACACAAAUUCGUCUAUACGUACGAUACCGUAUAGUAUCUGCGUUUCAUAAUUGCACCACGUGACCUACUUUGUCGAGUUCGCGCUCAUUUUUUAAUACAAAAACGAUAAGUAUUUGAAAAUUCCUAAAUUUAAAUAAGAAAAGCUAAACACUCGAUCGAUUAUGCAAGGUCGCGAUCAGAAUUGCAGAUAUUUCGAGGUGAGUUCGUCUCGUCUCGUGACCAAACCAAUUAUCAACAUUUACAUUGAAUAAAAAAUACGAUAUUUUCUAAGAACCUUAAAUAGAGAUUGGUUGGUUUGGUUCGUAAACUUCGAGAAUUACUUCUUGUCCGAUUCUGAUGUCUUCUCCAUUAUUGGAUUCUCCGUAAUCUAUAUUUUAUUGGCUUAUGACCUUUGGAUUAUUCCACAAUGAAGAAAGAACCAACAUAUAGUGAUUGGAUUGAUUGAUUCGUUGAUUUCGAGGUUAUUUUUUCUCCUCAUGAUCCGUGACCUUUAAUCCUUGGAAUUUAUUAUUCGUUUCUGCAUAUUCAUUAAUAGACAAUGGGAUUUUUCCAUUAAGAAAAACCAAUAAAAAUACAGAUUGUUUUUUUGGUGGAUUCGAGAGGGCCAUUUUCUCCUAGCUAGAUAGUAACUUCUAAGCUUGCGUGGGAAACAUGAGAAAUAGCAAUACAAAAACUUUAAUUCGUCAGACUUUUGUUGAAACACUGACAAGAACACAAACUGAUGAUCUGCGUGAUUCUCAUUUUUUAUUUUUGACCACCAUACGUUUUGGUGCUUGUUGUUUCACUGCAACCUCAUGCUUCUCAUCCUGCAAAAACAAGUUAAGAGAUUUGAGAAUCUUGUUUAUUUGCAUGUCGAAGGAAUGUAAAAGAGAAAAUCAUUGAAAUUGUAGAAAGCUCUGUAUUUUUUUGUUUGGUUUCUUGAUGAGGGUUUAGGGUUUAGUUUAAUUUUGUUUCUGGAAGUUUCUUGGGCAAGAUGUGGGAAUCAUGACUUAAUGAUAUUUAGAUACCGUAAUACUAAGAGAAGAAAGUAUAACAAGGAAUGAUUCUAGGCAUCUUUUUGUGGGGGCUUUUCAAUGGUUAUUUCAAAGCCUGAGAAGAAAACACUUGGCAGAUUUAGAGACUCCCAUUGUUUAACAUGAGAAUCUUUGUAAAGUAUACAGCUUUAUUUUGAAACAGACAUGCCCUUCUUUUUUCUUUUUAUGUUUGAUUUGGUCUGUCUUGUCAUGAUAUACAAAUAUCUUCAUAGUGGGCUAUUAUAUAUGGAUAACCAAAGCUGAUUAAUUAUAAUUAGCAUAAAAAUGUGUGUUAAACAAUACCUCUUUUCCUCAUCACGCAGCCUGCCUUUGGUGCUGCCUCCAUUACUUUUGUAGUCAGGGAAUGGUACGUGUCCAUUCUCAAUGCUCUCGAUGUCACGCACGAGAAGGUCAUAUUGUCUCUUAGCUUCUUCCGGUGUUUUGCCACCAACAGCUCUAGCAACAUUGUACCAACGGUCAGGGGUGUCUUGGUCAUAGGUUGCUAGAGCACGCUCAAAGGCUUUGUUCUGCUUAACAGUCCAUGAGCCAGAGCCAUAAGAAGACAUUGUGUUUGAUGCCAUUGUGGGAAAAAAAGAAGAGUGUUUCUUUUGUGUAAUAACUUAUAAGAAAUGAUGGUAUGUUGCACAGAUGUCGCAGAGUCCUUGCUCUUUAUAAAGCGAGGUUGAGGUGGGGUAUAGUGCCAGUUGUUAAAGAUAUCUUUGCUUGUCCAAAACAGAUUGAAUUUUUUAAGUCUUUUGUGGAGAAUAUUAUCAAAAAUUGUGGAGAUCAGUAUCAAAGAUCCAAACUAAUUACCCCUCAAUCCACAUUUGGCAUAUGAUGCCCGAUCGGUAGAGAUAUUUUUUUCCUAUAAAUGUUAUAACUAAUAUGUUUACUUUUCUUUCCAAUUAGUGUACUUAUGAUGUCAUUCUCUAGAUUAAGCUUGUAGUCAAAAUUUUGGCCCUUUAACAAAACAAAACAAAACAAAAAAUAGUCAGAAGAAACAGUUUAGGUGAUGUAUCAAAAAGUCUCUCUACCUUUGAUAGUUUUGGUCAUCUACUUCUUGGAACAGUCUGGUCUCUAGUCACAGAACAAAGCUCACGUACCGUGCCUGUAAGACGAGGAAAGUUUUAAGUCUUGGAUAAAAGUUAGGGACAAGUCUCUGUUAACAGAUGAUUUUCACUGACUUAUUAAGAUUUUUGAAACAUUGUGAGGAUUAAUUUGCAUCCACAAAAACAAAACAAAAAAGUGGGCUUUACAUAUAUUCUUCUUGAAGGAAAGUGGGGGCAUGCAGAGCCAUUACCUCGGGAUACUCUCUGUCCUGAACACACCAUAUCAAGCUGUAUAGAUCUUCCGUACAAUCAGUAGAUAUUUUUGUGUUUAAGAGAAAAAGGUCAACAUUGUUUACCUACCUUAUUUGUUUUAUUUUCUUGGCCUGUUGGGUCCAUCUCCUUGAAGUUAGGCAACUGUGUUUUUCUUGGUCAUAUGUUUUAUAAAUGUGAUUCUUGGUCGUUAAUUUGUUAAAUAUUCACCUAUUUUCUUGCUGGAUAUUUAAAUUUGUUUUCUGUUCUUUGGUGAAUUUGGGGAGGAAGAAAAUAUUUACAGCUGCCUAACUCUUGCUGUGAUUUGAUAAUAUUUUUUUAGCUGUAACAUUGUUGUUGUUGUUGUUGUUGGUUGUGGUGGUGAAAUUGUAUCCACUCUUUAUGAGAGCCCAUUAUGAUAAUGGUUUGUUGUCGUAUUAUCAGCACUUUUGUUUCAAAAUGAUCAGUUAAUUACCUUGUUUGGUAAGAAUCCAGGCUUGGGAUGGGCAAAAAUAUUUUUGUCCUGAAACUAAAUUAGGAUGCUUAACUAGGCCAGAUUGUUUCAUUGCUUGUUUUUAAUGUUCUUUUACAACCUAAAAAAGUCACAUCAAAUAAUGCUUAAUUUAUUAAUAGGAGUAUGGUCAGCAAAAAACAAAAAAUUAUAAAUGGUCCAUUUGUCGUUUAAUUUUAACUCAGGAAGGAUAGCAUUUGUUUCAUUCUUGAAAGAUUUGUAGAUUUUCCUUUCUUGCAACACAGGUUGUUCAUAUAUGAUCCGCUUUUGAUUUUAAGUCAAAACAUAGUUUUUCUUGGGUAAAAAAGUCAAAAUAUAGUUGAUCCAUUGGUUUAGAGUCUCAAUCUUAUCCUCUCUCGGAAAUAGGUGCUAUGGGAGAUGGAAGAACAUAAUUUAAUUUGCUCUCUUUCUGGAUAUAUGUCAAUAUAAGCCCUUAUAACAUCUUUUCUUUUUGUGUAUCAAAAAUAUCCACGUUUAUAUUUUGAUAUCUAGUUAUGAUUAUCUAAGUUUCAUGGUAGGCGCGAAACUUCUUAAAGGAAAACUUUAAACCGGAAAGAAAUCUUAAUAACAAUGAGGCUUUUUUGUCACAAUAUAUUCCAAAGAUAAUAUUUUGCAAGUUGCCAAGAAAUUCUGCAAGUAGGCAUUGCACUACUGAUAUUCUCAUUGUCACUAUUCUUCAAAACCGACUCUCUUGCCUAGGUAUUAAAAUGGUAAACGAAAUACAUUAAUUUGGACCUCAGCUUUUGGUAAAUUCUUUAGCUGUAAAAAAAAAAGGGAUACUUGUGAGUGAAGGUAACAGAAAAAUGGUCAAUUGGUUGUUUUGAGAAAGAUGCAUAUUCUGCUUCUUACUUUCUCAGUAUGAAUAGUUACAUCAGUAAAGAUUUGAGGGUUUUAUUCUUAUAUCUCAAAUCUUGAUUUUCACAUCUCUUGAUGUAGAUACCAGCCCCAGUGAUCAUUGCUGAGAAUUUACCCGGAGUAGCUUACAAGGAAUCUGAAUGAAAGGAAGGUAAAGAUAGAGAAUAAGCAUUAUUUCUUUUAUUUGUUACAAAGUUUAUGUUGAAAUCUGGAAUCCUUAUCCCCAAUCUAGCAAAAAAAAAAACAAGAAGUAUUCUUAUUCCUCUCCAAGUGGUUUGCUCCUUUUGCAACUUGGAGAACCCGAACAUGCAUGAAGUAAUCACUUGUUCCUUUAUAAUGGAAGUUUCUGUAGCUCAGUUUGGGAAGUGUGUUCUAAAGUAUCAUUACACAAAACUUCAGGAACUUUCAACCUAGUGGUAGUGGUGAGAUAUUAUUAUCACCAAAAGAAUGAUCCCUUUACAAAUUCGGAUUCGGACAAACUUUACAUAAAAGAAGGAAAUGGCAUUUUAUCGCCAGAAAUCCAAAUAGAGCAUUCCCAUUGAAGGAAAUAGUAUCUAUAUAAACACAAGCCUGGUCCUAAACGGCCACAGUAGCAUGUAAUAUUAUAUAGUAACGUAGAGAUCUUUGCUGUACCUGUUUUUUGUUGUUUAUUGGGAAUCUUUGAAUAAAGAACUUACGAAAAUGGAGAAUCUCCAUGAUCAGGGGUUUUCCAUUGGUUAACAAGAGAAUAUACAGACCCGGACAAAUGUUAAUCUUUGCUUUUGAACAAUUGAUGCUAAUCUUCGUCUUAUAUCUAUCUGAGACAGGGUAAGUGGAAGCAUGCAUUAUUAACAGCAGAGAAUUGUGUUCUUGUGUUGCUUUUUUUUUUUUUUAUCAGUAAACUGUUAUUAUUCGUGUUGAUUUUCUGUUACCAAAAAUUAGUAGCAAUCUAGUACUGUUCAUCAAAGUUUAUAGAAUAAUUUGUUGCUGUUGCUGAACUCAUCAUACCUUUGUUCUAUGUUUGAUCUUGUAUUUGCAGCGUAGUGCCGUAGACUCAAUUUCUACUAAGCCCAAAGACCACAAAGAAAAUGGUUCUCUUCUUUUGCUCUGUUUACCAUAAGUUUUACAACACUAAACUCAUUACUAUAAUUGAAUCCUUUUUUAUGUAAUCUAUAAUCUAUCUGUAAUCUAUCUGUAAUCUAUCUAAUCUUCAAAGCCUAUAGAAAUCCAGGUUUCUUUUGUCCACUUAAGACGUCUAUGUGUGACCAAACACAUGUGUGAUCCACCCUGCCCUCUAAUUACAAGUAUCAACUACUAGACCAUAAAUACUUUACUUAUUACCAUAGGUUACAAGUUUCAACUAUUAGACCACAAAUACUUGGCUAUUACAAGGCUUGUAAAUUAGAGGGCGGGACGUAAACUCUCAACGUUAAAUUGCAAUAUUUGGAUGAUUACAAAAAUACAUUGACUAUAUUCUAUAUAUGUUUCACUCUUAUUCAUGUAGUAAAGCUGCCUUUCAGUUCUUCUGAACUAAUGCAAUAAAGCAAACUUAUACUGUAUAUAUAAGAUUUUUUUUAGUUAAAAAAAUAUCCAGCAGAACAAUAUGAAUCUAAAUGUUGUUAAACUAUAAAUUAACACGCACAAUGUGAAGGGUAAUAUUUUUUAAAAUGUUUUUAAAUUUAAUUUCAAUUUUUUGUUAAAUUAAAAUUAGUGGUAAAAAUCUUUUAAUAAAAAAUAUAAAUAAAAAAAUUGGUGACAAAUAGAUAACAAUAUAUAUGUAAAUAUCACACAACCGAUAUUUACUUGUAUAUAUAUCUAUCGAAUAUGAGUUUGAAUUAGUUUUGUUAUGCAGUUUAAUUAUUAGUAGUUUUAAAUAUGAAAGUGAUAUGAUGUUAAUAUAUAUAUAUACUUAUACACAUACCAACAUAGAUUAGAAUAUAUAUAUCCAUAAAAUAAAAAUUUAAUUUUGAAUAUUUUAUUAGAGAUCAAACUAUCAUAUUUAAUUAAUGAAUUCUAUAACAUGUGUUAUAUUAUCUAAAUGGACAAAUCCAUCUACUUAAUUUAUUUUGCAAUAUACUAAAAUAUUUUGAAAAUAUAUUUCAAGUUUUUUUAUAUAAAAAUAAUUGAAUUGUUUUUCAAAAAUGAUACUAAUUAAUUAUGACAAUGCAAAUGAAAAAUAUUUUAAAAAGUAUAUAAAUAGAUUUUAUAUAUAUAUUGAUUAUUAUUUAAAUAAUAGAGUAUAUUUUAAUAUUUUAAUAAGUAAAGAAACUAAAUAUAUUAUUGAUUUAUAUCUAUAUAUAUUCAAAAUAACUGUAAACUCUAUAUUUAACGAUCUCUUACAGAAGAAUAUUUUAAUUGAGCUUUCAAUAUUUAUAAAGUUUAUUUGUGUAAUACUUUAUAACUAAAAGUUUAUUUAGAUAAUAUCUUAUGAAUAAAUGUUUAUUUAUGUAAAAUAUUUUGUAAUAUUUUAUAAAUAAAUGUUUAUUUAUGUAAAUGUCUACUCAAAUAAUAAUAUAGAGAUAUUUUUAUUUUUGUAUGAUCAUAUCUAUUCUAUUAAAAUAGAAGCACAUUUAGUGCUUGUAUCCAAAUACUCAUAAAGUUUUUUUUAUAAUAUUUAUUUUAUUUUUAUAUUUAAUUUCCGAAAAUUAGUUAUUAAUUUAGAGAUUUUUAUAUUUCCUAAAAUCUAGGUCAUCUUUAAUUUAAAUUUCAAAUUAUUAGAAAUUUAAUUAAAUUUAGUUACAAAAUUUGCAUUCAAAUUAAUUUAAAUUCAAAAAAUUCAAAAAAAAAUUAUAAUUAAAUUUUAUUACGAAAAUUUAGAUAAUAAUUUUAAUACUUUAAAAUUUCUUAAAUACAGGAGAAAUUUAAUUUAAAUUUUUAAUUUAAAUUUUUAAUUUAAAUAAUAUUUUUAUAAAAAUGCAUAAUAAAUAAAUAUUUUAUCAUAAUCAAUUGGUCUAAAAUAUCAAAUAUUUGAGAUUAAUAAAUAUUUAUAUUAUACAAUAAUAUGAUCGAGCUGAUUAGAGUUAUAUAUAUAUAUAUAUAUAUAAAAAUAUAUUUAAGGUCCAUGAGUUAAUUUAUUAAAACAUGUAAGAUAUUAAGAUGAUUUGAGACAAUUAAACUAACAGGUUAGCGAGUUUUUAUAUAUAUAUAUAUACAUAUAUAUAUAUAUAUUAAUAGCGCAAAUAAUAAAUAAAUAUCUUAGUAUAUUUUUUCAUAAUCAAUUGGUCCAAAUAUUCUAUAUUAGUAAAUAUUUAUAGGGUUAUAAAAUUAUAAUUAUAAUCUUAUAUGGGUUAGUUUGUCAAAAUAUAUAAGAUAUUAAAAAUGAUUUAAGACAACUAAACGGAUGGAUUAGCAAAUUCAUAGAUAUAUAGAUUUUAUGUGUAAAUCUAAAUUCACAUAAUAACAAAGUUUAUAAUUAACAUUAGAUCAAUGUAUACUUAAUUAACGCAUACUCUUAUUCUACUAAUAUACAAAUUUUACUGUUUAAAAUUAAAAUAUGAUAAUAAUAUUUUGAUUUAAAAAAUAAAUAACAAAAAAAUUAUAUAUAAACAAAAAAGAUAAAUGCAACUUAUAUUAGAAAUAAAAAAUAAAACAUUCUCGUGCGGACGCACGAGGUUAAAAUCUAAUUUAUUUUGUUUAUAGAUAAAAAUAGUUAAAAUAUAUUUUAUGAUGGAGAGUAAUUAACUAAUUAUCAACAUAACAUGUGCUCCGGUUGUGAAACCCUAGAUUAUGUAAAUUUAUGCGAAAUUCUUAUGGGCCCUCUCGUCUUGGACAUGUGACUAGCCCAGCGAGUUGCACUUAAAACCCCACCAAAAAUUCAUUUCGUUCCAAGAAAAAUACAUAGGGACUUUGUUAGUAUACAUUACAAAACCAACACAACAACCAGUCACUUUUAUUUUAUUUUCUUUUCCUAACUAGUCACUUGAAAAAAACAAAAUGGUUGGUUGUAACUUUGUUCUUCUCCAAAAUUCUAUUACCACUUCCACUUGAAAAAAACAAAAUAGUCCACUACUUUGUUGUUUCACAAAUUGACCCUUCUAUCAGUGAACGGAUAUUUAAUAGACUAUGUUAUUUUGUCUGUCUAGACUCCAACGCUUUUUUGGUAUUUGCAAAUUUUUAUUUAUGAUUCCGUAAAUUUAGAUGCCAACUUCAGAUAAAGUAUAGGGCCGAAAACGAUUUACGCCGCUCCUGCUUGAAUAGAAAAUGCUUUCUUUUGUUUCCAAUUAGUAAUUUAGUAGUAGUGUUUGACCUCUUUACUUUUUAGCGUUGUAUAGUUUAGUUCAUCUAUAGAACUUCUCUAGAGCCUCCAAUCUCUUAAGGAUAUUUUUAGUGUAGCUUCAAAAUUUAUUUGUAUAAAAUAAACAGUUGCAAACAAAACGCGAUAAAAGUGAGCAGUGGUGGAUAAAAAACUAAUCGAUCAAGUAAAGCAACUUGAGCGUUUCAACAGGCCGACUAUAUUCCCGAAUAAUUCGAAUUCUGAUGUUAAUGAUUUUCGUCGAUUUACUUGGGAUUAUUCAAAAUUACGACAUAAAUGUAUAACUGGAUAAGAAAUUGGCCAAGAAGUAAUGAGCGAACGAAAGUGAUUUAACAUUACGUUUCCAGAUAUCAGAUACCUAAUCACGAACUGUCACAUCCAAAAUAGCAAAACCAGAAACAGAGAACCAAAGAUACCACAACCAGAAACCAUAAGCAGAACCAGAACCAGAGAACAGUCACAAUCUCAAAUCCUAAUCUAAUUACCAACCACCACCACCUCCGCCGCUUCCUCCAUAACCACCACCUUCACCACCUCCGUAUCCACCACCCUCGCGUCUGCCACCACCGUAGCUUCCGCCGCCACCACCUCCUCUUGAGGAGUAUCCACCUCCACCACCAGAGUAACCACCCUCGCGUCUUCCGCCGCCACCUCCGUAUCCACCGCCACCACCUCCGUAGCCACCGCCGCCGCUGCGGUAUCCACCGCCACCACCACCACGGCCGCCUCCGCCACCGCUUCCACGUGACUGAGCCUCGUUCACAGUGAUGCUGCGACCAUCGAGCUCCUGUCCGUUCAUUCCCUCAAUGGCGUCUUUCAUGGAUUUCUCAUCCUUGAAAGUGACGAAUCCGAAUCCCCUCGAUCUUCCAGUCUCACGAUCGUUAAUGAUCUGGAAACAUAAAAACGAAACAGAUCAGCCAAAUAAUCCAACACAGACGGACACACAAAUCGAGCCAAAAAAUUUCAAAAAGAAAACGAUCGAUCUCCGGGCUCAUAAAAGCAGGAAGAUGAACGUACCGAUUGGGAAAAACAAGUAACAGAGUAACAAAGAACGAGAGAGAGAGCAUGCAUAGUAACAGUAAUUCGAAUCAAGUAACAGAGAAACACAGAUCGGAACAGAUCCGUCGAGGAUCAGAAUCAUCGGAAUCCCGGAGAGUCCGAUCUCUGCGUGUAACGGACCUUGGAAUCAAUAACGUCGCCGUACUGAGAGAAGGCAGUCUCGAGAGCUCUGUCAUCAGUGGCCCAAGCUAGGCCUCCAACGAAGCACCGGAACUCGACAUCUGCGGACGCCAUUGAAUGAGAGAAAUGAUAGAGAAGAUCUAAAAAAAGAGAAGUGGAGAGAUCUGAGUGAUGAGUGAGGGAGACGAAGAAUCUCUUUAUAAUGGGGCUGAGAUAUUUAACCAAGGUUAGAUAUUUUCUAGGGUUAGAGUCGGUUUUUAAUGAAAUUUGGUUUAACUAUGGUUAAGCGUGUGGUUUAAAAUGGUGGUGGUUGGAGACACCUCACGUGACACUUUUUUGGAUUAAUGCGCAAAUGGAAAGACGAUGCAGGAAAAGAUAUUUUUUCUUUCCGCUUGUUCCAAGAAAAAUAUCUAGUCAGGUAGAAAUAUCUGCUAAAUGAAAUGACAAGUUUACCCCGUAAGUCUCAUCUCGUAUUCAGAUCACUGAGCCGACUGACACUGGGCCGGAAAUUUAUUUUUGGACAUAAGAGAAAAACCUAAUUGGGUCAGAAUCUUAGCCCAGAAUUAAUAUUAGGCCGAAAAUAAACUCAAAAUAUAUAUAUUUGAAAAAAACAAUUGUUGACAGUGGGUUUGAACCCACGCCCUUUCGGACAGGAACCUUAAUCCUGCGCCUUAGACCAACUCGGCCAUAUCAACUUUGAUGUUUUGUUAUAGUAAAUCUUCUUUUUUUUUUAAUUUCCCCUUAUUGUUGAACCUGAGACAUUAUUCCCCUUUAAUUCUUCUGAAGAAUCUGAAGAAUCAAAACUCGAAAGUCUUUCCCAAACCAAGCUUCUGAAAGUUCAUUCCCUUAAUGUGAUAUAUGUCUUCUUGGGUACAAUAAUCAAAAGGAACACUUUGAUUUUAAUAUCAAACGAAAAUAGAGCAUGCUAUGAUUAAGAAGCAAGUCUUCAGAGGUGCAUGCAUUGACCCAAAAUUUAGAUUUGAAUCCCAUUAUUAUUUUCAAUCUAGUAAAACUAACUUCUGAAUUUGUUUGGCUCAUGCAAAAAUCUAUCAUAUUUCUAAUAUUCACAUGGAAGACUAGGGUUUUAACUAUUAAGUAUCGAUUAUCUUCUAAAUUAUCAGUCUCGAAUUAAUAAAAUUCCUCUUCAUUCCUUAAAAAUAUAUCAUUUAUAUGGAAUUUAUUUAUAUACAUUCCUUUUGUUCCUCAUAAAAUACACUAUUUAUAAAAAAAAAAUUUUUUACACACUAUUCCUUAUCAUUUUUUUAUUUUUAGGAAAUUAUAGAACAAAAAUAUUCAUAACCAAAUUUAACAAAAAACAAUAAGAUAUUAUGUAUCUUCAUUCCCUUCCUAUUCAUUCCUAUUAUGUUUUUAUAAUUGCCAAUUAAAGUCUAAAGUAUUAACUAUUUAAGUAUCGAUUAUCUUCUAAACUACCAGUCCGAACUAUAAAAUUAUUUCACUCAUAGAGACAUGUUUGAAACAAUUUAUAUAUUACACUAUUGUACUUACAUAAACAUGGAUCUACAUGUUUGAUUCUCUUAUUAAAAAAACAUGGUAUUUCUCCCUCAGAUUGGAGUUUUGUCGGGAUAAUGUCAUCUUCUUUAGGUGGUUUGCCUUCUUUAACAUGUAAAUCGCCGCUUCUUUCUCUGCUUCUGUUCCUUGGUACCCAAUCCACUCAACUGUUUCGAGACCCGACACAAAACAUUCAGGAACACAACACGGUUGCUCCCACUGAGCUUCGAAAUCUCUGAACAUGCCGCAGUUUAACUGAACAUACCAACAAAAAAAAACGGCAUGUGACCUUUACAUGUUGGAAUCGGUAAUUGUUUAUAAAGAAGUUGGAAUUACCGGCCUAAAGAUUUGUUACAAGGGAUAAUCAAGAUCGUUAUUCGUUACAGUUCUUAUAAAUAGCUGUGUUCAAAUUGUAAUGUCACACGGCUUGCUUUCUCUAUCACAGGCCAGGAGUCAAGACUUUGGAUUGUAAUAGACGUACCUGACUUGUAUAUUGAGAAGAUUGUACUACAUUGAUAAUAAUUUGGUAUAUAUAGACUAUCCCCAUGAAGAUGGUCGAGCAAAACGAAUUGGCUUACUUUAACUGGUUGUUAUGAUCUCAUGGAUAGCCAUUACAAAGACCAAGAAGCUUUAGACAAUUAUUCUACAAAACGUUUUAUUUAUAUCGAAGUCCUCUUCUCAAACUGUUUAAAAAGCCUGGGGAACGGGCAAGACACUUCAGAAGUACAGGGUCCUGCCUGGAGGAGCCUCUUCCACAGUCAAGAAUCGAGAACCACGAUUAUUUCUGUGAGACUCUUCCACAUGGAUGUAUUUACCAUCAAUCUCAAUGCCUUCCAUCAUCAAAACAGCAUAUCUCAUCGAUUCCUCCUCUUUAAAAGUAACAAAACCAUGUCGUAUCGAUUUUCCUGUCCCAGGACGGCAAAUGAUCUACGAAUACAUAGAAAAUCAUGAAAAAACAAUCAAAGCCGACACUUAAUCGUGAAUUGUCAGAUAUCAAAAUGAUUAAUAUACAGAAACAACAACAAAAAAAAAGUAAACAAAUAUACAGUAACCAAAUCCUAAUUAAAGUAGACCUCGCAAUCUGUAACAUCGCCAAACAUGCAAAAUGCUCUUGCAAGACGAGUUGCAUCAGUAUCGCGGUUCAGAUUAUGAACAAAGCAAACAAACCCUUUCGGACCGUGUAAUGGCAUCUCUCAUCGAUUUCUCGUCCUCAAAAGUAACAAAACCAAAUCUUCUCGAUGUUCCAUUCAUAAACGUGAUCUUUUGGAAACAAAUUAAGAUAAACGGUACAGAUCAGUAAAAAGAGUAUCUGACAAAAUGUUCAUGCACAAACGUAAAAUAAUAACUAAAUGUUCAAGGCGUGACUGACUUCAGAUUUGAUAACGUUGCCAAACUUUGAAAAGACUCUCUUCAGAUCAUUUGCAUCCGUUUCUCUGUCCACCGAGAACUAAGCACCUGAACUCAGAAUCUGCUGAAGCCAUUUGAAAAAAAAAAAACGACUAAUCAGGGUUUCUAUGUAGAAUAAGGAGAAACUUGUAAAAAAAUGUUGUGAGAAGUUGAAUUCAAUUUAUAGAAAAGGGGAGAGGAUUAGGGUUUUGGAUUUUUUUUUAAUAUGUUAAUUACGAUUUAAUCUUUAAAUUUGACCCCAAAAAAAAUGAAUUACAGUUACGGUGAGUUUUAUGAUAGAGGAGAGGAAACUGUUUAGCAAAUCGUGGAAUCGUGGAUUUUGAUGAGAUAAUAUAGGAUUUUUAAAAUGAUAGUUUUUGGUUUUUAACGUUUAAAUUAUUUUUUUACUCAACCACAUGUCACCAUGUCAUUGGUGAAGUGACUCGUGAUUAUGUAUAAUAAAGAUAUUAGAUUUUAACCCCGUGCGUCCGCACGAGAAUGUUUGAUUUUUUAUUUCUAAUAUAAGUUGCAUUUAUCAUUUUUGUUUAGAUAUAAUUUAUUUUUGUUAUUUAUUUUUUUUAAUCAAAAAAUUGUUAUUAUAUUUUAAUUUUAAACAGUAAAAUUUGUAUAUUAGUAGAAUAAGAGUAUAUGUUAAUUAAGUAUACAUUGAUCUAAUGUUAAUUAUAAACUUUGUUAUUAUGUAAAUUUAGAUUUACACAUAAACAAUCUAUAUAUCUAUGAAUUUGUUAAUCCAUCCGUUUAGUUGUCUUAAAUCAUUUUUAAUAACUUACAUGUUUUGACAAACUAACCCGUAUAAGACUAUAAUUAUAAUUGUAUAACCCUAUAAAUAUUUACUAAUAUGGAAUAUUUGGACCAAUUGAUUAUGAAAAUAUAUAAAAAGAUAUUUAUUUACUAUUUGUGCUAUUAAAAAAAAAAAAUAUAUAUAUUAACCUGUUAGUUUAAUUGUCUCAAAUCAUCUUAAUAUCUUACAUGUUUUAAUAAAUUAACUCAUGAACCUUAAAUAUAUAUAUAUAUAUAUAUAUAACUCUAAUAAGCUCGAUCAUAUUAUUGUAUAAUAGAAAUAUUUAUUAAUCUCAAAUAUUUAAUAUUUUAGAUUGAUUGUUUAUGAUAAAAUACGAUAAAAUAUUUAUUUACUAUGCAUUUUUAUAAAAAUAUUAUUUAAAUUUAAAUUUUAAAAUUAAAUCUUUUCUGUUUUUAAGAAAUUAUAAAGUACUAAAAUUACUAUCUAAAUUUUGUAAUAAAAUUUAAUUAUAUUUUUUUGAAUUUUUUGAAUUUAAAUUAAAUUGAACGCAAAUUUUUGUAACUAAAUUUAAUUAAAUUGAAAUUUAAAUUAAAGAUGACCUAGAUUUUAGAAAAUCUAAAAAUAUCUAAACUAAUAACUAAUUUUCGGAAAUUAAAUAUAAAAAUAAAAUAAAAUAUUAUAAAAAAAACUUUGGAAGUGUUUGGAUGCAAGUACUAAAUGUGCUUCUGUUUUAAUAGAAUAGAUAGAUGCAUGGACAAUCUUUUUUCUUAAAGCUCUCUAUGUGUUAUACAUAAUUUCCUUGGUAUCUCAGAUGAUCAAGAUCUAACAAUUCGUACUACGAUAGAAGAAAAUGAUCCCAUAUCUCUUAGCCGUUUCAUUUUUAUUGUGCGUGAUAUCCCCACUCUUUACAGUAUCAAAUUAACAAAAAGUUACUAUAAAAGACUAGUUUGCAACUUGUACCGUACAAGUUGUACGUCACGUUUAGAGACGUUUGACUCAAUUUCAUAGCUUUCUCGAUUGCUGUGAACUUCUUAAUGUUAACUUGUGAACCAGAAUCAGGUUAUUGAACCUAAACCAAGAUUUAUAUGAACCCGUAAUUGUUAAUAUAGAAGUUGGAAUCGGUCUAAAGUUUUGUUACAGGGAAUAAUUAAUGAAGAGAUCGUUAUUCGUUAACAAUUCUUAUAAUUAAAUAGCGUUGUCACAUCACAUAAAUAAUCUUCUAAUAAAUAAUUAAUACUUGAUUCAAAGCACCACGUCCCAAACAAUCACAUAGUGAUAUAUUAUAAAGGGGAGCCUAGAAGCUUAUUAUAUAAUUCUAUUAUAUAUAUAUAUCUUAUGAAACAUUGUCAAAUAUAUAUAUAUAUAUCUUAUGAAACUUGGGUUCAUGCCUUCUUCUUCUUUGGACCAACACCGUGACGACGACAACUUUUGCGAGACGAGUAAGCCUGUUCCACAGUUAUGGUUGUGUAUGGCGGGGCGAGCUUAUGAGUACCGUUCAUUCCGUUAAUAGCAUCCCUCAUGGAUUUCUCGUCUUUGAAAGUAACAAAUCCAUAUGCCAUUGAAUGAUCUUCAUCAUACUCAGAUGGAUAAACGACCUAUGAAACAAUGACUAACAUAAUUCAGAAUAAUUGUUAUAAAAAAAAAAAUCAAUACGUCGCCUAACUGGAUUUAUUAAUGAAAAAAAAAUGAAAAAACCAACAUAAGUUCCUAUAACGUCGCCAAACCGAGAAAACGCAUUCUUGCGAACAUAGCACUUGUAUUCAACAUCUUCGGACGCCAUUUUUGAAAGAUGCAGAUUGAUGAGGACAAUUUAUAUAAAAGAUUAUUUAUGUGGUUAUAAAUGCUAUCGAAUCUAAAAACUUUUAGAAACAAGCGUCUUUUUUCUUUCUUUGAAACUAGUUUUCCCUAGUUCCCAAACUUUCUAGAUAUUUUAUCUAAAUCUCAGUGUUUUUUUUUUUUCUGGUACAACUAAAAUGUGAAAACCAUUACUAGUAAAUUGAUUUUAUUGGAAAGUAGGAGUAUAUGUUUCCAAUAAAAGUCAAUUUGUUUUCUUGCUUAAGCUGUUAGUUUCAGUUUAUACUCCCUCCAUUUCACAAAGAGUGUCAUUUUGACACUUUAUGUUUGUUUCAAAAAGAAUGUCGUUUUAGAAUUUCAAUGUAAUUUUUAACAUAAAAUAUCAUUUUUAACCUCAAUAAAUUCAGAAAAUUAAUUAUAAAUAUGAUUCCAAAAGUCAUUUUCUACAAAUUAAUAAGGGUAUAAAAGACUUUUUAUCUUAUUUCUUAAUUUGUGUGAAGAUUGUCAGAACGACACUCUUUGUGAAACGGAGGGAGUACUAUUUUUUACCUACCACAACAAUUCAAUAAUAUCACUCAAAAUUUCUCAGUGAUUUGCUUAUGAAAUGCACUAUUGAAUGAUGAUGAAUACAAAAUUCUAACGAAACUCUUGUUGAAAUGCAUCUUUACAUUAUAAAGGUGCACUAAGCUACUAACGAAACUCUUGUCUCACUAUUGCUACUUUUUUCUGUUAAUUUGCAUUUGGAUAUAUAAUUCCUCUGGACAUCUGCAAGUGAGCACAGUUAGAUAAACACAAAACGCUAAUGUGCUUCUACUAUAUUUAAAUCUUGGUUUAGAGAUGAGUAGUUACUCUGGGAGCGAAACAAACCGGUUUAGUUAUAACCUGCGGUUGUCAUUAGGCUUGAAUUUUUCAGGAAUUGGGACGGGAAUUGACAGGUAAAGGAUGGGAAUUGAAAUUUUGGGAAUCUGAAUAUAUUACCCAAAAUAUUCCCACAAAAUAACGAGAGGGAAAUUUACGGGUAUGGGAUGGAAACGGGAAAUUCGAAAAUCAAAACACACUAUCCAUACAAUCCCAAAAUAAAAUAUAAUCAGGAAAAGGACGGGAAAGGAACAGGAAAGGGACGGGAAAAAUUUCGGAUAAUUCGGAUAAUUAAACUAAAAUCAAUUUUGUUUUUUUUUUUUAAAUUAUUAUUUGUUAAUAAAUUGGAAAAAUCAUUAUUUAUUAUAAAAAAAAUUUCAGUUAACCAAAAUCUCUAAAAUUUCACUUUAUAUAAUUACCCAACGGGAAGUUCGGGUAAUCCCAUUCCCGUCCCUACCCUUUUCCUUACCCAUUCAAAUAUUAUUUUCAAACCCAAAUGGGAAAUUACAAUUUCCCUUUUUCGAAAAGUUUGGGAAUUUCGGGACGGAUACGUUUCGGGACGGGUUACCCUUCCCGAAAAAUUCAGGCUUAGUUGUGACCUUGUGCGUAAUAUAGAUACUCACUUUUUACAGUAUCAAAUUAACAAAAAUUAUACUAAAAGCCUAGUUUGCAACUAAUAUCGACUUUGGCUCAAGAACAGGAUUUAAUAAAACUCUCUUUUAUUAAAUUUUAGGAAACUCUCUCAAAACCUAAAGAUCCAAAACACAAAACUCAUAAGUUAUUAACGACGACCCUACGACUGCGGAAAAUCAGUCGCCAAAAUGUCGCUAAAUAGUGAUUGCGAAUGUCGUCACUUCUUAGUCGCUAUCUAACGACGGAUUAGCGACUAAUAUGUAGUCACGAUUAAUCAGUCGCUAAAACGUCGAUAAAGUUGCAACUAAUUUGCGACAUAUGCGGCGAGUCGGUAUUAUUUAACACGUGUAAUACGUUUUAGGGUGGUUGUACCGGUUUUUCGCGACGAACCGUUGGCAGUCGCAAUAUAGUGACAAAACAGUCGCAUAUUAGUCGCAAAAUUUUCUAUAUAUUGAGAUCCCAUCUACGUUCCACUUCAUUAGUAUGCUUGCUAUCAUUUUGGUAGUUACUUUAUAAAAUUCCUUUAGCUGUAAGAAAUAUUUCUUACAAAAAAGGUGAAAAAAGAGUUAAGAAAAAAAAAACUCUUAUAAUAGAAAGAGAGUUAUAAUUUUAAUUAUAAUAAUUUUAGAGCUUGGAUGUAUAACCGAAUCGAUGAAAAGACGGGUAAUUUUUCGAAUGCGUUUAUAGAAGGAGUGGAGCAAUUCAUGAAUUUUGCAAAUAAUCAGACUAUAACACAAAGCAAUUGUGGUAAAUUUUUCUGCCCUUGUAGUGUAUGCAAUAAAACAAGUUUUUGUUGGGGAGUAAGAUUUGGAAUCAUCUAUACAGUAAAGGGUUCAUGCCAGAUUAUUAUGUUUGGUAUAAGCAUAGGGAAGAAAUAACUAUGGAUUAUGGAACUAGUUAUAAUAACAGUCAUCUAAGUGGGAGUGAAGAAAAAAUGGAUAAUAUAGCUGAAGAUAGAUAUGUGGAUAUGGUGAAUGAUGCAUUUUGUGAUAAUUUUCGUCAAGAUGAUAGCUAUUGUCUAGAUGAGAGUAAUGAAAAUGUAGAAGAACCUGUACGUAAUCAUCCCAAAAAUUUUUACGACUUGUUAGAAGCUGGGAAAAAACCAUUAUACGAUGGUUGUCAUGAAGGGCAUUCACAGUUAUCUUUAGCUGCUCGGUUCAUGCAAAAUAAGAUAGAUUAUAAUAUGAGUGAAAAAUGUAUGGAUUCAUGGGCCGCAUUGUUUACUGAGUAUUUACCAGAUGGAAAUCAAGCAACCAGUUCUCAUUACGAGACAGAGAAAUUGAUGGGAAACCUAGGCCUUCCUUUUCAUAAAAUUGAUGUUUGUAUCAACAAUUGUAUGAUCUUCUGGAAAGAGGACGAACAUUGGGAGAACUGUAAAUUUUGUCAAGCACCAAGAUAUAAGCAAGUCAAGGAAGGACGGCGAUCAAGAACCAGAAUACCAUAUAGUCGUAUGUGGUAUCUACCUAUAGCUGAUAGAUUAAAGAGAAUGUAUCAGAGCGAGAAGACAGCAGCGGCUAUGAGAUGGCAUGCUGAACACCAAGCCAAGGAUGGAGAAAUGUCACAUCCCUCUGAUGCUGCUGAGUGGAAAUAUUUUCAAGAUCUACAUCCUCAGUUUGCUGAAGAACCCCGAAAUGUUUAUCUUGGAUUAUGUACAGAUGGGUUUAAUCCAUUUGGCAUGUCUCGUAAUCAUUCUUUAUGGCCUGUGAUUUUGACCCCAUAUAAUUUACCUCCUGGUAUGUGCAUGAGGACAGAGUAUUUGUUCCUGACGAUAUUGAAUUCAGGGCCAAAUCAUCCACGAGCCAGUCUUGAUAUAUUCCUCCGACCUCUUAUUGAUGAGUUAAAAGAUCUAUGGUCUACUGGAGUGAAUGCAUAUGAUGUGUCCCUGAAACAAAACUUUAAUUUAAAAGCUGUGCUGCUGUGGACGAUAAGUGACUUUCCAGCAUACGGUAUGUUAUCAGGAUGGACUACUCAUGGUAAAUUGUCUUGUCCAAUUUGCAUGGAAGAUACAAAGGCUUUUUAUCUCCCUAAUGGAAGGAAGACAUGUUGGUUUGAUUGUCACAGAAGGUUUCUUCCACAAGAUCAUCCAUUAAGAAAAAAUAAAAAAGACUUUUUGAAGGGUAAAGGCAUGAGUGACUACCCACCAGAGUCUUUGACUGCUGAGCAAAUAUAUUCUGAGCGGAUAGAAUCUGUGAAUCCUGGUAGAACAUUUGAGUGCGGUGGAAAUGGUCAUGAAAAAAAGAAGGCUGGAUAUGGUAAGUGGCACAACUGGCACAAAGAAAGUAGUUUCUGGGAGUUGUCGUACUGGAGGGACCUUAAUCUCCGGCAUAAUCUUGAUGUGAUGCAUAUAGAAUAAGGCUAAAACGUGGCCCAUCUACUUCACUAGGGGAUACUUGUUUCAUACGCAGAAGCAUGGUGUGGACCGAAAAACCUGUAACUAUGGGAUAUGUGUGAAAGGAGAAAAUUAUACGGAUACAUCUGAUGAAGCCGAUUUCUAUGGAAUCUUAACUGAUAUCAUACAACUCGAGUACGAGGGAAUGGUAAAUUUGAAAAUCACACUUUUUAAAUGUAAUUGGUAUGACCCUGUUAUUGAUAGAGGCACACGAAGAAACAAUGGUGGCGUCACUGACGCUAAUUCAUCAAGAAGAUACAAUAAGUACGAACCAUUUAUCCUAGGUAUGUUGAUAUAUAUAUAUAUAUAUAUAUAUAUAUACUUAAAAUAUAUAUGUUUUUUUGUUGAAAGAAUCUUUUUAUUUUGCUGAUCUUCCACAGCUUCUCAAGCUGACCAAGUUUGUUAUAUUCCCUAUCCAUACCGAAAGAAACCGAAGCAAUUGUGGUUGAACGUGGUAAAAGUAAAUCCAAGAGGAAACAUUAAUGGAGAUUAUGAAGAGAAAGAACCAACUCUUUUACAACAAGUAAAUGAUGAUGAUAUAAUGCUGACUACAAUUGAGGAUCUUGUGGUCGAUAAUCGAGUACUCGGAGUAAACUCCAUAAAUCUUGAUUUUGAUGUUGAAGAUGCAGAACCAGCUGAUGAAUUUCAGUGUAACUUAUCAUCCUCAGAUGAUGAUGAAGAUGAAGAUGAACCUUACUAAUUAUUUUGUUUAAACUAGUUGAUAAUAUGAUGAAGAUUAAGAUGAACAUUACCAAUUUCAUUUUUUUAAAAAUUGUUUAAAUCAUUUGAUAUUAGUUGAUAUUAUCAAUUUAACUAAAUCAAAAUUAAACCAGAUUAAGAUUAAUCUUAAAACCAAAUUAAACCAUAAAACUAAACCAUAUCAAACCAGAUUAAAAUUUAGUUAACCCAUAAAACCUAAUUAAACCAUACUUAACCAAAAUUAACUCACUAACCCUAAAUUAACCCGAAGCCCACUAACUAAAUCCUAAGCCCACUAACUAAAAUUAACCCACUAACCCUAAAUUAACCCGAAGCCCACUAACUAAAUCCUAAGGCCACUAACACUUAACAAAAUUUCUUCUUCCCUCUAGUCGAUCUAAACGACUAAACCCUAAUUCCUCUUUCUCUUCUCUCGAUCAUUCCGCCUCUUCUCUCACACCGAUUCUCUCUUCUCAACCUGUUUUUCGAUUCUAAGUUCUAACCCACACCGAUUCUCUCUUAUCUUCACUCUUUCUCUCUUCUCCACCGAUCCGAAACCCACAAACCGAUGGUUACUCGUCGUUCGAAGAAAGGAAGAGGAGGUGGAAAGGCAUCGACUGCAAAGACGCCUCUCCCAAGUCGAUACGCCUUCACUCUGUCGCCGUCUAACCAGUCUCCACCACCGCUUCAACCGGAGAGGGCACCGUCGAUCUCGGUGAGAGAUUAUCCACCACCGACGCAUCUGUUCCAGAACCGCAGCCAACAUCAAAACUCUUCUCCGCCGCUUAAUGCUCCGUCGACUCAACCGCCUCAACCCCGAAGCUCCCAUAACUCCGAACACCGACCAGCCGCAAUCUCUGAAGAAGAAACAUCUCCGCAUGCUGAAGGGACUUACUCGCACUCCCAUGAAGGCCACAACGACAGUGAAGAAGCUCUAUUCAGCCCCGAUCUCGCUCCUGACCAUCAGAGAAUCCUGAACGCUUUGCUUACACAACCAGGAAGGGAAGCUUUCACCACAGUCCUAUCUCCUUUACCGAAGCCUAAUACAACAUGGUAAUGCUUUCAUUUUCAGCUUGUAUUGCUUAGUUUAGUUGUUUACGUUUGAACUUGAUUGGGUGUGGAACUCGGAUUAGGUUUCAAUAUGGUAUGCGACUUCAUUGCUUAGUUUACAAAUUUAGGUUUGGAACUUGAUUUUAGGUGUUGUAUGCGAAUUCGUUGCUUAGAUUAGGUAACAAUUAUGUAUGUUUUGAUAACUGGUAACUUGUUUGUAUCUGAAUUUGUAGGUUUGGUCGGGACAAAUCUAAACUUACCCGAAAGAUCACCAAGAUCUUUACAAACAAGUUCGACGGUCCCUUUUACAGCUGGACCUGUGUGCCUCGAGAGAGACAAGAACGGUACUUCAUUGAAUUUGCGGUAAGUAUUUCAUUCUUAUUCUCAUUUGUUUCUUUGAUGAUUUUCAGUCAUUUUAGGCAUUUGAAGCAAUUGUUUGUUUGAGUCGUUUGAGUUAUUUAUAGCAAUUUUUUGUUUGCUUCAUUUGAAGUUAUUGAGGCAUUUCAUUCUUUGAGUUAGUUGAGGCAUUAGAUUAGAUGUUUCUUAGUUUAGGCUCGCUUAAAAGAUCUUCUACUCAUUUGAUUCAUUUGAGGCAUUUGAGGCAUUUGUGGCAUAAGACUUCAUCGUUUCUUCUCCUUUGAUUAAUUUGACUUGUUUUUUUCACUUGCUAAUACCAUUUUCUAUGUUUCUAAUGUAGAAAACACACACUUGGGAUCCAUUAGUAACCGGUGUUGUCCAAGAAAAGUUUGAGAGCAUUUGUCUCAAUCGGAUGAAGGAUAUGGUGAGCAAGGCAAGGACUACUCGGGAGCAGCCCAACUGGAUUGGCGACACUCUCUGGAAACAAAUGAAUGAAUACUGGAACACUGAAGAAGCCAAGGAAAAGAGUGCCACUACAUCAGCUGCAAGGAUGUCUGAACGUGAUGGUCUUGGACCUCAUGUCCACUUCUCAGGCCAGAAGUCGUACAUACAAAUCCAACAAGAGAUGGUUAGUUCUCUUCCCUUUUCAUUCAUCACUUAUGUCUAUACAUCUUUAAACUCUUUUGUUUGACUUUUUUUUUCAUUGCAGGAAGAAGAACUUGGAAGGCCGGUGAGUCUUGGUGAAGUUUUCAUCAAGACUCAUACAAAAUCGGAUGGCACUUUUGUAGACCGAAAGUCCAAGACGGUGGCUGAAGCGUAUAAGAAGAAACUGGAAGAAAAGAUGGCUGAUCUUGGGGUAGACUCCGAGACUUCAGAUGGUACAUCACCGCCUGUGGUGCUGUCCGUAGAAGAGGAAAAUGAACUCUUUCUUCAGGUAAAUACUUUUUUUACAUUGUCUUUUAUGAUAUGCUUUUAUUCUUUGGAUUUUGACAGUUCUGUUAUUCUAAUACUGUUUUGCAGGCGACUUUCACAAAUGAAAGAGGCAUUCCUUAUGGAAUUGGAAGCCUCUCACAAACGACUGGAAAAAGGAAGUACCCAGGAACCUCGGCAACAUACAAGGGUCUCGAGGAGCAGCUUCAAGAAGCUCAACGCCUAAUAGAAGAACAAGCAGAUCAGAACUCAAGGCGUGAGGCAGAGCUUCUCAAAGUUUCUGCUGAGCAACAAGCCAGAAUCGACAAGUUAGCUCUGGUGGAAAGGUACUUGACUCAAACUGAUCCAGGGUUCUUAGAUUUUGUGGCUGCAAAUAAAGUUUCAAGUAAUCCAAUGCCUUCACCUAAUCACUCUACAACUCCCUAGGUUCUGGUUGGCCUCUGUUUUUCUUUGCUCCUUUAUUCUCUUUAAGAACUUAUCACAAUGAUAUGCUAUGUAUUAUUUGGGUAUUUUGAUCACAAUGUUUUGGAACAAUGUCUAUUUUGGUAUUUUGGAACAAUGCCUAUGUUUAAUGUAAUAUAUAUUUGCUUUUACAAGUUCUUCUAAUUAUUUGAUUUCGAGUUUAGCUUUUUGGUGUAAUGAACAAAUUUGAUCAAAUGAAAAUAGGAAAUAUAAUGGAUUACCAAACCUGAAUCCGUUUGAUCUAUGUAGUCGCAAAUUCGUCACAACUUCGUCGUAAAGUAGUCACGACUUCGUCGGAAAUCAGUCGCUAAACCAUAACAAAACAUCACGUUUUUGGUGAUAUCAGUCUUCAAACAGUCGCUAAAGUGAAAGCAAAGUAGUCGUGAUUCAGUCGUUAUAUACUGCGACUAUUUCGCGACUGAAUUUUCACGACCACUAAGCAGUCGCAAAAUGGUCACAAAGUUCGCAACUAAUUAGCGACUGAAUUUACACGACGUUCCGACGACCGAAUCAAAAGUCGCUAAUUAGUCACAACUGCAGUCACUUAUUAGUCGUUAAAUUAACUACUAAGUGCCGACUAUUUAACGACUGAAUGACGUAGUCGUUAAGUAGUCGCGAAUUAGUCAUUAGUUUGCGACUGAUUAGCGACUCUUUAUUUUAGCGACGUUAAAUUAACGACUAAUUUGUUUAGUCGCUACUCAGUCGCAAAACCACUUAUAGCGACUGAUUUGCGAUUGAUUUGUUCGUCGCUGAAAACCUGUUUUCUUGUAGUGAGGAUUUAAUAAAACUCUCUUUUAUUAAAUUUUAGGAAACUCUCUCAAAACCUAAAGAUCCAAAACACAAAACUCAUAAGUUAUGCCACACAUUGGCAUCUCCUUAUAUAGAUGUUUAGCUACUCCUAAACUUAAUGGAAUUAGAUAACUCCUAAUUUCCUUUUUCCUAACCUUAACACUUUUAGGAAACAUUACUUAAAGAUAAUCUAGAACAAUCUAGAAGCUUGCUCUUCAAGCUUUUCUCAAGCUUACUCCAACAAUCUCCCUCUUAAGCUUGAAGUCUUCUUUGAUCAUCUCUUUAACUCCAAUGAAGUUUCUCAUUUCUUUAAACUUGAUCCUUCCAAGUGCUUUAGUCAGAAUAUCAGCUUUCCUGUGGUUGUGAUCUUGUGCGUGAUAUCCCCACUCUUUACAGUAUCAAAUUAACAAAAGUUACUAUAAAAGACUAGUUUGCAACUUGUACCGUACAAGUUGUACGUCACGUUUAGAGACGUUUGACUCAAUUUCAUAGCUUUCUCGAUUGCUGUGAACUUCUUAAUGUUAACUUGUGAACCAGAAUCAGGUUAUUGAACCUAAACCAAGAUUUAUAUGAACCCGUAAUUGUUAAUAUAGAAGUUGGAAUCGGUCUAAAGUUUUGUUACAGGGAAUAAUUAAUGAAGAGAUCGUUAUUCGUUAACAAUUCUUAUAAUUAAAUAGCGUUGUCACAUCACAUAAAUAAUCUUCUAAUAAAUAAUUAAUACUUGAUUCAAAGCACCACGUCCCAAACAAUCACAUAGUGAUAUAUUAUAAAGGGGAGCCUAGAAGCUUAUUAUAUAAUUCUAUUAUAUAUAUAUAUCUUAUGAAACAUUGUCAAAUAUAUAUAUAUAUAUCUUAUGAAACUUGGGUUCAUGCCUUCUUCUUCUUUGGACCAACACCGUGACGACGACAACUUUUGCGAGACGAGUAAGCCUGUUCCACAGUUAUGGUUGUGUAUGGCGGGGCGAGCUUAUGAGUACCGUUCAUUCCGUUAAUAGCAUCCCUCAUGGAUUUCUCGUCUUUGAAAGUAACAAAUCCAUAUGCCAUUGAAUGAUCUUCAUCAUACUCAGAUGGAUAAACGACCUAUGAAACAAUGACUAACAUAAUUCAGAAUAAUUGUUAACAAAAAAAAAUCAAUACGUCGCCUAACUGGAUUUAUUAAUGAAAAAAAAAUGAAAAAACCAACAUAAGUUCCUAUAACGUCGCCAAACCGAGAAAACACAUUCUCAAGAUCAUCUUCUUCCGUGUCCACGUCUAAAUUGCGAACAUAGCACUUGUAUUCAACAUCUUCGGACGCCAUUUUUGAAAGAUGCAGAUUGAUGAGGACAAUUUAUAUAAAAGAUUAUUUAUGUGGUUAUAAAUGCUAUCGAAUCUAAAACUUUUAGAAACAAGCGUCUUUUUUCUUUCCUUGAAACUAGUUUUCCCUAGUUCCCAAACUUUCUAGAUAUUUUAUCUAAAUCUCAGUGUUUUUUUUUCCGGUACAACUAAAAUGUGAAAACCAUUACUAGUAAAUUGAUUUUAUUGGAAAGUAGGAGUAUUUGUUUCCAAUAAAAUUCAAUUUGUUUUCUUGCUUAAGCUGUCAGUUUCAGUUUAUACUAUUUUUUACCUACCACAACAAUUCAAUAAUAUCACUCAAUUUGCUUAUGAAAUGCACUAUUGAUAUGAUGAUGAAUACAAAAUUCUAACGAAACUCUUGUUGAAAUGCAUCUUUACAUUAUAAAGGUGCACUAAGCUACUAACGAAACUCUUGUCUCACUAUUGUUACUUUUUUCUGUUAAUUUGCAUUUGGAUAUAUAAUUCCUCUGGACAUCUGCAAGUGAGCACAGUUAGAUAAACACAAAACGCUAAUGUGCUUCUACUAUAUUUAAAUCUUGGUUUAGAGAUGAGUAGUUACUUUGGGAGCGAAACAAACCGGUUUAGUUAUAACCUGUGGUUGUGACUAGGCCUGAAUUUUUCGGGAAUUAGAACGGGAAUUGACAGGUAAAGGAUGGGAAUUGAAAUUUCGGGAAUCUAAAUAUAUUACCCAAAAUAUUCCCACAAAAUAACGAGAGGGAAAUUUACGGGUAUGGGAUGGAAAUGGGAAAUUCGAAAAUCAAAACAUACUAUCCAUACAAUCCCAAAAUAAAAUAUAAUCAGGAAAAGAACAGGAAAGGAACAGGAAAGGGACGGGAAAAAUUUCGGAUAAUUCGGAUAAUUAAACUAAAAUCAAUUUUGUUUUUUUUUUUUAAAUUAUUAUUUGUUAAUAAAUUGGAAAAAUCAUUAUUUAUUAUAAAAAAAAUUUCAGUUAACCAAAAUCUCUAAAAUUUCACUUUAUAUAAUUACCCAACGGGAAGUUCGGGUAAUCCCAUUCCCGUCCCUACCCUUUUCCUUACCCAUUCAAAUAUUAUUUUCAAACCCAAAUGGGAAAUUACAAUUUCCCUUUUUCGAAAAGUUUGGGAAUUUCGGGACGGAUACGUUUCGGGACGGGUUACCCUUCCCGAAAAAUUCAGGCUUAGUUGUGACCUUGUGCGUAAUAUAGAUACUCACUUUUUACAGUAUCAAAUUAACAAAAAUUAUACUAAAAGCCUAGUUUGCAACUAAUAUCGACUUUGGCUCAAGAACAGGAUUUAAUAAAACUCUCUUUUAUUAAAUUUUAGGAAACUCUCUCAAAACCUAAAGAUCCAAAACACAAAACUCAUAAGUUAUGCCACACAUUGGCAUCUCCUUAUAUAGAUGUUUAGCUACUCCUAAACUUAAUGGAAUUAGAUAACUCCUAAUUUCCUUUUUCCUAACCUUAACACUUUUAGGAAACAUUACUUAAAGAUAAUCUAGAACAAUCUAGAAGCUUGCUCUUCAAGCUUCUCUCAAGCUUACUCCAACAAUCUCCCUCUUAAGCUUGAAGUCUUCUUUGAUCAUCUCUUUAACUCCAGUGAAGUUUCUCAUUUCUUUAAACUUGAUCCUUCCAAGUGCUUUAGUCAGAAUAUCAGCUUUCUGUUCUGUUUCCGGAACAUGCUCAACCAAUAUUUGCUCAUUCUCGACACACUCUCUAAUGAAAUGAUAUCUUUUGUGUAUGUGUUUACUUCUGCCAUGAAACAUUGGAUUCUUUGUCAAUGCAAUUGCAGACCUGUUGUCAAUUCGAACCAAAGCUCUUUCACAUCCUGAUCCAAUGACUUCACCGAGUAACUCCUGCAGCCAAAUCGCUUGUUUUGCAGCUUCUGUAGCUGCCAUAAACUCAGCUUCACAAGAAGAUAAUGCCACUAUCUCUUGCUUUUGAGAACACCAGGUUAUUGGACAUUCAUUGAGAUAAAAGAUAUGACCAGAAGUACUCUUGCCAUCAUCCAAAUCAACAUUGUGACUACUGUCACUGUAUCCGAUCAAACCAGAUAAACUGCUUUUCGAAAACUUCAAUCCAUAACUCAAAGUUCCUCGAAGAUACCUUAGUACUUGUUUGAGUGCUAUUCCAUGAGAUUCUUUAGGCUCCUGCAUGUAUCGACUUAGCACUCCAACAGCAUAAGAAAGAUCAGGUCGCGUAUGAAGCAAGUAUCGAAGACAGCCUAUAUUUCUCCUAUACUUCUUCUCAUCGAUUGCUCGUUCUUCUUGUGCUUUGCAUAGCUUUAAACCAGAGUCCAUUGGAACGUGUACAGCAUUACAUUCAUCCAAGCCAUUCUCUUCGAGAAUUCUUCUUGCAUAUCUCUCUUGAUUUAAUGUGAUGCAUCCUCUUUGUUGUCCUACUUCGAUCCCAAGAUAGUAGGUUAACCUUCCAAGGUCACUCAUCUCAAAUCGUUCUGCCAUGCGCCUUUUAAACUCAAGUAUCAGCUCCAAGCUUGAACCUGUGACUAGUAAAUCGUCCACAUAUACCGCCACAAGCAAAAGAAACCCCUUUUCUUCUCUUCGGUACAGUGAAGGUUCCUUUGAACACUUGCUAAACUUCAAUUCAACAAGAAUUUGAUUUAACUUGUUGUUCCAAGCCCUUGGUGCCUGUUUCAGUCCAUAAAGAGCCUUGUGUAGUUUAUACACCUUAUCUUCACUUCCUUUGAUUUCAAAUCCCUCAGGUUGAUGAACAUACACUUCUUCUUUCAGCUCGCCAUGUAAGAAGGCUGUUUUUACAUCAAGAUGAUGUACUUCCCAUUCACUUGAAGCGGCUAGAGCAAUAAUAAAUCGAAUGGUUUCUAUGCGUGCCACUGGAGCAAAUACUUCGUCGAAAUCAAUACCAUAUCUCUGCACAUAACCCUUUGCCACAAGUCUUGAUUUGUAUUUGUUUAUGCUUCCAUCAGAGUUAUGUUUGAUUUUAAAUACCCAUUUAAGUCCAAUGGCUUUUGCUCCUUUAGGAAGAUUGACCAAAGUCCAAGUCUUGUUCUUGUUGAUCGAUGCAAUCUCUUCUUCACAUGCGUUUCUCCAUACUUUUAGGGAUUUCGCUUCAUUAAAAUCCCAUGGUUCUUCAUUCAUGGCUAACAAUAGGCGUUCACUCUCUAAUUCUGCAAUCAUUACAAAAUCAUCGAAGUGACCUGGUUGCUUGCGAAGUCGUGUUGAUCUUCUAAGUGCCGGUUGGUCUUGCACUUGUUCUUCUGUAGUAUUGUCUUCGGUUUCAAGGUUAAUACCAUCGGAAGCAUUGUUGUCUUCGACAUUAUCUCCAUCAUUCGUGUACUGUUCACUUUCGUCCUCUGUUUCCUCUGUUUCAUUUGUUCCAUUGUUUUGCUUUCCUCCUAAGACGAGAGUGAAUGUUCUGAUGCCACUGUUUAACUCGUUUACUGUGUUAUUCCACUUCCAGCUCUUUGUUUCGUCAAAGAUCACGUCGCGACUAACAAUAAUUCUUCUACUCUUUGGUUCCAAUAAUCGGUAGGCCUUUGAUCCUGGUUCAGUUCCCAGAUGGAUGAGAAUCUGUGAUCUAUCAUCGAGUUUUUUCAAAUGUGGAGAUGUGAUUUUUGCAUAUCCAAUACACCCGAAAACUCGCAGAUGCUCAAUGUUCGGUUUUCUUCUCUUGAAUGCUUCAUAUGGGGUUUGCUUCUCCAAACUCUUUGUAGCCACUCGAUUGAUAAGAUAUGUUGCAUGUCUCACAGCCUCCCCCCAAAGGUAGUUAGGAAUAUUCAUAUGUUUCAUGAUACUCCUAGUCAUCUCCAUAAGAGUUCUGUUCCUUUUUUCUACUACUCCAUUUUGUUGAGGAGAGUAGGGAGCGGUCAAGUGUCUUUUGAUGCCUGCAUUAUCACAAAACUCCUGGAAUUCUUGAGACACGAACUCACCUCCUCUGUCCGUUCUCAAGGUUUUAAUUAGUCGACCAGUUUCUUGCUCAACAACUGCUUUAAACCCUUUGAAUCGGCUGAAAGCUUCACUCUUUUCUUUGAGAAGAAGAGACCACAUAUACCUAGAAUAGUCAUCAAUUAACACGAAAACAUAUCGGUUUUGUGCUGCUGUUGCAGGUGCAAUCGGUCCACAAAGGUCACCAUGAACGAGUUCAAGUGGUUCUGAUGCUCGAUAUGUUGUUGAUUGUGGGAAAGGCUUUCUCAUCUGCUUUCCGAGCAUACAUGCGGAGCAGGUAUCCUUUUCUACAAAAAAGUUUGGUAUUCCUUUGACAAGAUCCUUCUUGAUCAUUGUCUUCAUGGUCUCUAUACCAACAUGUCCUAGCCUCGCAUGCCAUUUAACAGAAUCACUUAUAGCCAUGAUUUGCAGACACUUCGCUUUCUCCACCUCCAUGUGAACUUUGUAGAGUCUAUUCCUUGAUCUGUUCGCUUUGACUAGAAGUUUUCCAUCGCUGCCAUAUAACAUGAGAUGGUUCUUUCUCAUACGAAUAUCGCACCCUGAUUCCGUAGCCUGUCCUAAACUGAUAAUAACUGAUAAUGUUGCUUCGAAGGUCAGGUAUAAAAUAGACAUCUGCUAAGAUUUUACGUUCACCAUCCUUGCUUACGAAUAGUGUAGACCCUUUGCCUUUUAUGUCGAUGCGAGAAUCAUCCCCAAAUCGCAAUUUUCCUGUAAUAUUCUCAUCGAUCUUUGUGAAGAAGCUUCGAUUUCCUGUCAUGUGGUUACUAGCACCAUUGUCUAGAUACCACACAUCGUCUUCAGCCGGAGAUGACUCAAAGUUAUUUGGUUUGACGUUUCUCUCGUUGAGAAACACAACCUCGUGCAUCAUUAGUUUUUCUCCUUCAUGUGUUUCUUCUUCAUUGUCAUUAUCUUCUCUGGUUUCUUGCAGUUUUAACAGUCUAUCAGGGCAGUGUGACGCGUAGUGACCUGUUUGAUCACACCGAUAACAGGUGACUUUGGACAUAUCUCUUGCCUCGUUGGUCCUACCACGUCCUCUUCCUCUGCUGUAAAACCGUCCUCCACGACCUCUGCCUCUGUUUUCACCGGUGUAGCCUCGGUUUGAUUGACUUUCGCUAUUCGCAUACAUUAAUUUGUUCGAAUCUUCUUGGGUUUCCUCGUCUUCUCCUUGGAUACGUUCCUCGUACGCUUUUAAACGCCUUGUGAUAUCUUCGAAGGUAGUAUUGUUGAGAUCCAAUACUUGUUCGAGAGAUGCCACAAUGUGUAUGUAUCGUUUCCUUGGAAGACUCUUCAGAAACUUUCGAACAAGCUUUGAUUCCUCGAUAUUAGUUCCCAAAGCCGCAGAUUUUGAGCAGAUCUCCGAUAGUUUUCCGCUGAAGUCAUCAAUUGUUUCUGUAUCCUUCAUCUUUAGUUUGUCAAACUCAGCCAUUGACAUCUGCAAUCGAGCUUCCCGGACUCUCUCGGCUCCUACGUUUUUGGCUUUGAUCGCAUCCCACACCUUCUUUGCUGUUGCUAAUUCUCCGAUUUGUAGUAUAGCUGUUUCGGGCAUGGACUGAAAGAUUAAGGCCAUCGCUACAUCGUUUUUCUCGGCAUCGGUCAGACUCUGUUUCUACGACUUCCCAUACUUUAUGAACUCUGAGUAAUAUCCGCAUUCUCAUCGCCCAUACGGUAUAAUUGGUCGAGUUCAGCAUCGGACAUUGGAUGGUGGACGUACUCAGCUCUUUAGGUCGCGUGACAGGAACAAUAUCUCCCAUAGCUUCGGUUUUAAUGAUCUUCGUAUUUGACUUGUUCGGAUCGAUAGAUUAGAGGCUCUGAUACCAAAUAAUAUCGACUUUGGCUCAAGAACAGGAUUUAAUAAAACUCUCUUUUAUUAAAUUUUAGGAAACUCUCUCAAAACCUAAAGAUCCAAAACACAAAACUCAUAAGUUAUGCCACACAUUGGCAUCUCCUUAUAUAGAUGUUUAGUUACUCCUAAAUUUAAUAGAAUUAGAUAACUCCUAAUUUCCUUUUUCUUAACCUUAACACUUUUAGGAAACAUUACUUAAAGAUAAUCUAGAACAAUCUAGAAGCUUGCUCUUCAAGCUUCUAGAAAGCUUACUCCAACAGCAACAUGUACGUCACGUUGAGAGACGUUUGACUCAAUUCAUAGCUUUCUCGAUUGCUGUGAACUUCUUAAUGUUAACUUGUGAACCAGAAUCAGCUGAAGAGGUCGGUAAUUGAACGUAAACCAAUAUUUAUAUCAUGAACCGGUAAUUGUUAAUAUUGAAGUUCGAAUCGGUCUAAAGUUUUACUAGAGGGGAUUAGGAAAAACGGUCUAUUCCCCCAUGAAUUUUAUGUUUUCUAAAAAUCAAUACACUAACUAUUGAACUAUAUUUAUAACUAUAUGAAAUAUUAAAAUGCGGCCAAUUUCAUCAAAACCGUAAACAAUAUUAAUUUUCUGUCUACAAUUAAUGACGUAGCAGACACGUGGCAUACCAGUUUAAUAUAUAAUUUGAUCAAUUUUUUUUUUAAGUGCGUCGUUUUGAUAUUUCUUAAAAAAUGCAUUUCUUAAGAAUCUAACACACAAGUAAGGGUUUAGUGAGGGCUAGGGAUCGUUGAGUCAAUUUAUCAGUGAACAAUGCGACUUAAUAUAUGAUUGUGUGUAGAGAACAAUGCGACUUAUGAAGUUAUCAAUGAGGGCUAGGGAUCGUUGAGUCAAUUUAUAGAAAAUGUGUGAGGUUGAUUAUUUAUGCAUAUGGUCAAUGCAACACGUCGAAUCUAUUAAAUUUUGAUACAAGUUUUUGUUUUUUUUUGGGGAACUACUUUCCUAACUUUAGACAAUAUUUGAUCUUUAGAAUAGUUUCAAGAAAAAUUCAUACGCAAAUUUCAAAGUGAAUUUCGUUUACCAAUUGUUUUGUUUUUUAUCGUUGUUUUUUUUUUUGGUAAAAGGGUGGAAAAAUUGCAAGAAACAAAUUAUCUUGGCAACAAAACAAAAUGAUGAACAUUUUUUUUAACGAAGUUUCUGAAUCCUCCCUUAGUUUAUGAAAUACACAAGAAAGCAUUUUAUUUUUUCUUUUUCAAAAAAUCAAAGGAAACUCGCUUUUACGUUAAUUUCAAAGUGAAUUUCGUUUACCAACUGUAUUUUUUUGGCUAAUAUCGUUGUGUUUUUUUGGUAAAAAGGUGGAAAAAUUACAAGAAACAAAUGAUUUUGGAAACAAAAAUGAUGAACAUUUUUUCUUAACGAAGUUUCUGACCCUUAGUUUAUAAAAUACACACGAGAGCACUUCUAUUCUAUUAAAACAGAAGCACAUUUAGUGCUUGCAUCCAAACACUCUCAAAGUUUUUUUAUAAUAUUUUACAUUAUUUUUAUAUUUAAUUACCAAAAACUAGUUAAUAAUUUAGAUAUUUUUAGAUUUUCCAAAAUCUAAGUCAUCUUUAAUUUAAAUUUCAAAUUAUUAGAAAUUUAAUUAAAUUUAGUUACAAAAAUUUGCAUUAAAUUUAAUUUAAAUUCAAAAAAUUCAAAAAAAUAUAAUUAAAUUUUAUUACGAAAAUUUAGAUAUACUUUAGAAUUUCUUAAAUACAGGAAAGGUUAAAUUUAAAAUUUUAAAUUUAAAUAAUAUAUUUAUAAAAAUGCAUAGUAAAUAAAUAUUUUAUCGUAUUUUAUCAUAAACAAUCGGUCUAAAAUAUCAAAUAUUUGAGAUUAAUAAAUAUUUAUAUUAUACAAUAAUAUGAUCGAGCUGAUUAGAGUUAUAUAUAUAUAUAAGGUCUAUAUGUUAAUUUAUUAAAACAUGUAAGAUAUUAAGAUGAUUUGAGACAAUUAAACUAACAGGUUAGCACGUUUAUAUAUAUUUUUUUAAAUAGCACAAAUAGUAAAUAAAUAUCUUAUUAUAUUUUUUCAUAAUCAAUUGGUCCAAAUAUUCCAUAUUAGUGAAUAUUUAUAGGAUUAUACAAUUAUAAUUAUAGUCUUAUACAAGUUAGUUUGUCAAAACAUAUAAAAUAUUAAAAAUGAUUUAAGAUAACUAAACGGAUGAAUUAGCAAAUUCAUAGAUAUAUAGAUUGUUUAUGUGUAAAUCUAAAUUCACAUAAUAACAAAGUUUAUAAUUAUGUAUUCUACUAAUAUACAAAUUUUACUGUUUAAAAUUAAAAUAUGAUAAGAAUUUUUUUAUUUAAAAAAAUAAAUAAUAAAAAUAAGUUAUAUCUAAACAAAAAAGAUAAAUACAACUUAUAUUAGAAAUAAAAAAUAAAAAAUUCCCGACGAAUGCACGGGAUUAAAAUCUAGUUUUUUAAUUAAAAAAUCAAAGUAGGCUCGCUUUUCCGUUAAUUCUCUGCUAACUGACUUUACACGGCGGCGAUGGCCGUUACCUCUGAAACUCCCGACGGCUCUAACGGCGGCGAUCCAAACAAGAAACCAGAAGACGUCGAGAAAGAAGAGGAAGAAGAAGAGAAUCAAAAGGAGAAACCUGAAGACGAAGAAGAAGAAGAAAUACAGUAUCGCUCGAUUUCUUUCCCAAAUCUUCCACACGAUCUCACCGAACUUUGCGUCGCACUCCUCCGGAGAUGCAAUUACCCGAGCCUAUCCCUCAUCUCCAAGGGCUUUCGCACUCUUGCCGCUUCGCCGAGACUCUACGACGCUCGCUCGCGACUCGGCGUCACCGAAUGCGUUCUUUACGCCUCCAUCGGAUUCCCUACUUCCUCAAGCCCGAGCUGGUACAUUCUCCGCCGUGACGAGAUCUCCUUGCGACUGUGCAGAAUCGACAAACUCCCGAUUCAUUGGGGAUCUGCCGUCGUCACAAUCGGACCGACGAUGUACGUAAUCGGAGGAAGAUCCGACGGGAAACCCACAUCGGAUGUGACUCUAAUCGAUUGCAGAUUCCACACAUGAAAAACAAAUGAUCCCUCGUUUCAAUUGGUUCACUGCAGAAGACACAACUGGUGGUUGCAUUCUGGUUCCAGUUUUUGAUUCUGUCCCCUGUGGCUAAUCUGUUCUUGAUCGCUAGCCAGAGCAUAAAUGAGUACUUGGGAGUAGCGUGGGGAAACCAAACUCCUCUGCACCAAGGCACGAUCUGUCUCCCUGUUUUUUUGGCUUCAAACCUCGGUUUAUACUGUCCAUUUUUACCCUUCCACUGUGUCUCGUCUCGAUCCUUGGGUGAUUUUUCUCAAUCUCAACUGCUCUAUCUCUGUUUCGAUCUCGUUAAGUAGGCCCUGGCGGUGUCUCCGCCUUCUUGGUCUGUCAAGAACCUCAGCCAUCGUCGCAUGUUUUGAAAAUCCCAGGUCAAUGAUGCCUCGUUCCCCAACUAGCUCCAGCAGACAUCCUUUACUGCUCCAUGAGUCAUACCAGAAAGACGUAUGUGUUCCAUUUUUUACCUCCACUCGGUAGAAGUUUUUUGCGAGGGUUCUGUACUUAAGAAGCUUCUUCCACAUCCAGGAGCCCAUUGAUGUUGUAUCUUUUAUUGCCCAGAAAGACCCUUCCCGUAUAAGCUGCGCCUGAAUCCACUGUACCCAUAAAGAGCUCGGGGAUGACAUAAUCCUCCAAAUAAGCUUUAGACAGCAAACUUUAUUUGCAACCUCAAUCGAGAUCUCAAGCAGGAUCCUUUUUCCCAGGGAAGGUGUUUGGGCACGAAGGAACGAUGGUGAAGAAUUGAAGAGUUUGUGGAAAGCAUCGUCUUGUGUGGUUGAUGAUAAGCUGUAUUCGAUCGAUCCUUUGUGUAGUCUUGGACAUCCAGUAGUCGUGUAUGAUCCAACGGAGAGGACUUGGAGAUCUGUGAGAGGUGUCUAUGGUUUUCCUACUAAUAUCUCUGAUUAUGACUCUAAAAUGGCAAAUCUUGGUGGGAAGCUGGUGGUUUUGGCUGGUAAGAGCCCGUUGUUUAGGUCUGAUCAUCACGGGGAAGAAGAGAUUUGGUGCUUAGAGAUCCAUUUGGAAAGACGUCAAGAUGGUGAGAUUUGGGGGAAUGUCGAAUCAAUCAAGCGUGUGCUUACAUCAAUCGAGUCGCCUUACAUUGAGCAUUGUCGAACUUUUACCCUUUGAUGAUGCUUGGGAUUGGUGUUCUUGCAGGUAUGUAUGUUUAUGUGAUAAAGUUAUGGCAUUUUCGUUACCCUCUCAAAGGCUUUACUUAUAGGACAUUCAUGAACUUGCAGGUGAAUCAAAGUGACUCAGAAGCUGUAUCUGACACCUCAAGAGUAACUCUUACUUCUUUACCUCUCUGCACAGUGUAUAUACUCUUUACAGAAUUAGCCUUGAGUAGAUUUCUUAAGCUGUAAAGAAGAUAGGUUUAUUCUUUUAGCUGCCUUUAUACAAAAAUUCUUACGAAAUUUGUUGUUGAAUUGCAUCUCUGCACAGUGUAGAUACUCUUACAGAAUUAGCCUUGAGUAGAUUUCUUGAGCUGUACAGAAGGUAGGCUAUUCUUGUAGCUGCCUUUAUAGAAAAAUUCUUACGAAAUUGUUGAAAUGCAUCUUUAGUUAGCUAUGUCUUUAGUUAGCUAUCAUUUUGCUAUCUUUUUUUUUUGUAUGUUCUGCAAGUCAUAUUCAAGAUAUAGCAGAAAUCAAACCUGCUUCUACUAGAAGAGCAAUGUGAAAUCGUGGUUGAGAUAAGAAGCAUAACAAAUUAAUUUAGUUAACCGGUGGUUUUGACUUUAUGGGUAACUACAAUAUCAAAUUGAGGAAAUACAAAGACCUGAAGCGUACAUAGAAUGUUCAAUGUGGAGAGAAUAUUACCUUUAUAGGUACCAAAACCCAAUUUACUUAUACCAUUUGAGAAAUAUGAAAUUCUGGUUUAGAGAUGAAGCAAAACGAACGGUUUAGCUAUACAUUAUAGAUAACUACAAGUCUAAAAUAGAAAAUAUCAAGUUGACAAUAUACAAAGACUAGUCAAAACACAACCAUCCAAAACUUUGAAUUUAACAUUUGUUGACACCAUUCGAAGGAAAGAUACAGGACAAAUUAGGGUUUCUAAAUAGAAAACAGAGAGAUUUGUGACUUGUGAGUAACGUUAAGAGACGUUUGGUUGCUAGAGUUAUAGAUUUCCUGUUCUUCUGAGUUUAACAAGACCCAUUGUGCUUCUACUAUAUAUGAAAUCUUGGUUCAGUUAUGUGAAGAUGUUACGUGAGCAAAACAAACUAAGUUGCAACUCAAAAUGUAUUUAACUGUAUGCUGAUUUUACAAGAAAAGUUUCAAAUAAUACUUUUGCCAAGAAAUGAAGAAAUGCCACUUUUUUUUGUUAUGAUAAGAAAAUGGAAACAAGUAAAAUUGCUUAUAUAUCGUGGUAUAUUUUUUCUUGUUAUAGUUUUGAUUUGCUUAAUUUUGGUUGCAAAUUGAAGAAUUUUAAUUGUAAUAGUAAUCUUUUUACAAAGGAAGAAACCACAAUUUAGAAUUAAGUUAGAUUUUUUGUCACGUGAGUGUCCAAUCAGGUUUUUAAAACUACUAUUUUAUCUCUCGGUUUAUGCAAAAUGACUAUUUGAAGUUUUAUUUGGUAAAUUAGGUCUAUUUUUUGCCGCCAUCUUUAUUUUUUUUUCCGUCAUCUUUUAGUCGAUAAUUAAAAACAAAACAGAGCAAUUAAUGACUGAAGAGUAUAUCUAUCUACUAAUCAGUCAUCAGUAAGUAGUAGACACAAGACAAGAAAAUCGAAUUAGGCCAUCAUAAUCUCUGAAACUUCCGACGACUGAUGGCGAUGGUUGUAAUCUCCGAGAUUACCGACGAUUCUAACGGCGGCGAUCCAAAAUACAAUAUAAGUUAUGAGAAGACAAGCUUAAAAAAUAGCCAUCAAUGAGGUCUGGUAGUAAGUUUAUUAGACCUAUUAUUAUGUCAGUCAAAAGUGCUAAACAAUUUUUUAUAACUCUAACGAAAUACCGUUCCUUCGUAUAUGAGAAGACAAGCUUAAAAAAUACCCACCAAUGAAGUCUGCUACUAAGUCUGUUAUACCUGUUAUUAUAUCAGUCAAAAGUAUUAAAAAAUUGUUUAGAGGUCUAAUGAAAUAUAUUCUAAGUAACAAAACAUCGCCAAUAAAGGGUUUGGUAUCAAUGUUAUACAUGUUAUACAUGUUAUUAAUCUGUUUAGCAUACUAAAUUUUUGAUUAGAUUGGUUAAUAUCUAUUAGGGCCCUAACUCUGACUUUUUAGAGGAUAAUAAUAAAAAUACACCAGUACAAAGUAAUUGGUAACAGUUUGGAGACCCAUAAAAGACAACAAUUUGCCACAACAAAGAUAGAGUAGAGUGUCUUGCAAUACCAAGUAACAUGAAAAAAAGGGUUAUCGGACGAGCACAUGAAAUCCUCAGAGUGGUUCAGCGAAUUCGUCAAAGAAUUUCAUAGCCAAUACUUGACUCGCGUUGACAAGUUCUUCUGGUGUCAUCGACUUGCAUCUCUCCACACCCCCAAUACAAUGCAUCAUUGCCAAAAGCACAGCGGAUACUCCAGAAUCAGUACAUAUGGGUUAUGUGGAAUCCUUUUGGCUCUUUGUAUCGAGAACACCUUAUACUCGAUUGGACGUUUGUAACCCGUUAACUUUUUCAAGAUGAACGACAACAUCUGAGCUAGAGGUGUAAACUCUUUUUUUGUGGCCGCCUCUGUCACAAGUUCGGCUUGAGUCAUCCCACCCUUGAACAUCUCCUUCCUGAAUUGAAAACCUUCACCAAUAAGUUGAACCACAUAAUCCACUUUGGGAUCGUCGGGAGUAAUACUGAAAACAUCAACCUGUAAAUAUAUUACACGGUUAACAUAAUGCUUAGAUAAGGGAGUCGUACAAAACAGAUAACCGAACUGUUAGAUGGCAGUAAAAAUUGUUAGCGGUUACAUAUGCGAGUCGUUUAAACAGCUAACAGAAUUGUUACAUGGCAAUAAAGUUGUUAGCUGUUACAUAUGACAUUCCUUUUAAACAGAUAACGGGAAUGUUAGAUGGGUAUCAAAGUUGUUAGCUGUUACAUGUGCAUCAACUUUAAAACAUAUAACGGGAUUGUUAGAUGGGUAUCAAAUUUGUUAGCAUUUAAAUGUGCCACCCCUUUAAACAGGUAACAGAAUUGUUAGAUGGGAAUCAAAGUUGUUAGUUGUUACUUACUUUACAUUCUUCAUCUACUUCCCUCGCAUGGCCGGGACUGAGCCCAAGUUUCGAAACCUCCGAUCUGGGGUUUGUCUUAGAUGUAAUCUGAUCUGGGUCAAUCGUUGUGUCCUGAUCUAACAAGCCCUUACCACCUCCUCCCGAUUGAACGGCAUCGUCAAUGUCAACAUCUUCGUCUUCACCACCUUCAGAAUCAAAAGAAUCAGAAGAUUCAUUCACUUGAACAACCUCCGUAAGCGCCGGAAUGGCCUCCACCAGAAUUAACUGAAUAUCAUGAAAAAAAUCUUUUACUGCGACGGUGCUUUGUGCAAGGGCAACCUCAUAUUUGGUUUUUAUGUUAGCGAUUAGCAUCUCGAAUCCAAGUCUACCCCAUGGAUAUGCGAAGAAAUCUUCCAAAUCUCUGAUUAACUCGACAUGGUCAUACACGAUUUUCGACCGGUGGUUGGUAGGGCAGAGAACAGCGCCGGUAAUAGCAGGGCAAGUGUACUUCAAACGAGUAGUCCAGUCGACAACGGUUUUCUUCUUAAGCAUCUUGGUUGCCAAAUCAACUUUGAGAAGUCUGGUGAUUAUGUUAUGCCCGAAACUCCCAGUAACCGUCGCCAGUGGCGAUGAGUUUCCCGAAAGGCGAUUUUCGUAAGUAGUUUCUCUCCUCCUCGUCAAGAGCAUCGAGAAUGUUACUGAUGGUAUUCGCUUUAUGAUAGGAGUUCACCCUCUCGCCGGUGGGUUCGUCGCCGGCGGCAAAAUUUCUGGUCGGGAGUUCUUGAAGCGCCAUUAGUGACCAGAUGCAAGUGGGGAAAAAACGUCUCUGCAUUAGGAAGUUCCAGAGAUGAAUUGUUGUAAAUAUCUUCAAUUUGAAAUACUCUUUUCAAAUUUUUAAGUAGCAUUAUUACACUAAAGUCCUAGGGGUUCUUUUACCUGUAGCCUAUAACCGUUAGAGUUAUAGGGAGUUUUUUGUAUUAAUGAAAAUAUGUAAAUAGGUGUAUAACGUAUAAUUUUAUAUGUUUGCAAAUACGAUCGUAUUCUAUGUUACAGCAUGCAAAUUCUCUAAAUUAAAUUAUAUUAUAAAUUACAUUUAUUGUCGCAAACAUUAUCAUACCGAAACUUCUUAGUUACUUAAACCAUAACUUACAUGUUAUCGUUGCAUGGCAAUUAUUGAUCUGAUGUAGAACAAAAAGCUUUUUACUUAAUCGAUAAUACUAUCGCUAUUGCAUAUGUUUUGUUUCUGAGUGCUUGUUUUCUCAAUAUUUUUUUCCCUCGGUAGCAAUCAUGGCUGCUGAAAAUAAUGAGAUGAAGAAUGAGGAAGAAGUAAGUUGGGUUUUUGUUCUCUUAAGGGAAAAAGGAUCCUCUUUCUUAAAUAUUAAGUUACCCAUAUACUUUUGAGGAUAAAUCAUGAUUGUAUGGUUUUUCUUUUUUGGUCAUCCUUAGCUCCCACCCUUUGAUCCAACCAAGAAGAAGAAAGUUGUCAUUCAGGAUCUUGUCAAGGACUCAACAGUCACAUACGGAGAAAUAUGAUUCAUUGCCUGGUAUGUUGAAGAGAGUGUUUAAAUUAGAUGUUUUGUGUCUUUCUAAAAAAAUUUUGAACUCUAUAAGCCUGUGUUUUGCUGAUUAUGUGCCUAUGUGUUUAGAUGGUAUUUUUUAAUUCCUUUUUUGUGCUAAGGAUGUGGAAGUUAGAUUACAUGAAUAGAAAUGGAAUCCUUUAUCAUUGUUCUCACCUCAUCUUCUACUCUCUCUGAAUGUGGAAGUUAUAGCUAUAUUGACUUAAAAAUGAGUAGGUAGUUGUAAAGUUUAUGCCUGAAUGAUUCUGAGAAGAACAAGAAUGGAACUGCAGAUCAUUCUAUGUGGAGAAACUAUGAUGACCUGAACAAGAACUUCUCCUCAAACCAUUCAUUGUCUAAUGUCUCUUGAGUGCAUCAAAAUUGGCUGGCCAAUGCGUCUUGACCAUGAUUUGUUCUGUAUAGAAUCGUUAGAUACCAGCAAACCACAGAGAUGGCAAGGAAUACUUAGAUUUCGCAAGCAGAAUAAGAAAACCGAGGAAGAAAUGGAGGAUGACGUAGAACUUGAGGUACAUACUCUGUUUUUGUCGUCUAUACAGCAUUGGGUCUAUACACUGUUUUUGUUACAGUGUAAGUAUAGUCUCAUUUAUACGAGAUUUUGGAUCAAAUGGACAUCUUUCACAUAAAUGGAUCAUGUGGCAUCUUCUCAUCUUUGCUUUCUUUGAUUUAUUUUUUCCCUUUAGAUUUCUAAAUUCGGAGAUAGUGUUCUUUCAUAUUCUGUUGUUGUUUAUGCGUUGUUCGUUGUUCUUAUAACUGAUCAAAGAGAUAAUAUUUUUUUGAUAAUAUUUUUUUAGCUGUCUUAUAUUUGUUCCGUGUAUACAUUGUUCCUGCUCUAGUGAGCUAUAUAUUUGUUUCCUGGUUCUCAUGUCUGUGGUUUUGUAUCUUUGCGUUUAUUUCGUUCUGUUUUUAUCUCCUUGCGAUUGUUUUGUUAUUAUAUUUGUUCAUGUGGCAUCGUCUCCCAUAUUUCCCUUCUGUUUGACGUUUAUCUCUCUCCUUCUUUUUAAAAUAUAACCUAUUUUUUGUGUAAUAUUGUCUUUUACAGUUGUGUUGUUGUGCUUUUAUGGGUCAGAUAUUUCCAGAUUCUGAUCCUAAAUGGAAAGAAGCGCAGAUCCUUCAGUUGUGAACCUAAAAGCUAAAACUCACGAGAAAGUUGAUAGCCUUGAAGAAUAACAGAAGCAUUGCAGCUCAUGAAGAAGUGAGUCAAUUUUAUCACAUUCCUUAAAUGUAUCAAUCUUCUUAAGAAAACACUUUUUAAUGUAAUCCCUUUAGACUAGGUUUAUUAAUACAUUCUUAGAAAUAGUGAAAAUCGAAUCAUGUGAUGACGAUACAUUGAAAUGGAAAAAUGAUUCUGGUUUCUGUCAGUUUUAAAUAAAACUUGAAAUUAUGACUUUUUUAGCUGUUUGGAUUGGUAACUUCUAGAAAUGGAUACCGCCAGUAACACCUGAGAUACAUUAGUUUUUUUUUUUGAAAAAAUGUUAAAUUAAAACAAAUUAUAAUUGGACACUUGAGAUCCAUUAGUUAUUACUUAUAGAAGUAUUUUAGACGAUUUAGUGAUUAUAAUUGAGUUAUCAAGGACUUCUUUUCAUACGUAAAACUGAGCUUCUUGUCAUACUUAAAACUGUAUCCUAGAAGAAUAUGAAUUUAGAGAGAAGAAAAAUGACAAAGGCAAUGAAGAAGGAAAAGAAAAAAAAAAGCAUAUAAAGAAAAAGAAAACUUGGAAGAAGAAGAAGAAGUUUGAGAAGAUGAUGAUGGAGAAGAAGAAAAAUCCAAAAAAGAAGAAAACUGAAAGAUAAAAAAGAAAAAAAGAAGAUCAAGACACAACAUAUAGAAGAAGUAGAAGUCGGUAACUUUCAUGAAGAUGAAAUAAAAAGAUGAAAAAUAAGAAAAACGAAAGAUGUAUGAGAGGAAGAAGAAAUAGAAAAAAUAGAAGUUGAAAACAAUAAGAUGGAAGAAAGAAAAGAAGUGAAAAAAAAAGAACAUGAAAAAAGAAAAACCAAUAAAAUAUGAAGUUAGAGAAGACAGAAAAUAAAGAAUGAGAAGUGAUAAAAACAAAAAAUAUAAGGAAAUAGCGAUAAAGAAUAAAAUUAAAAACACAGAAGAAAAAAUAAGAAACAAAAAAGUUAUGUUUUAGUUUAAUUAAUUUGUAGAUUUAUUCAUAUAUUUAUAUAAUACUUUUUGGCAAUUAAUUUUGGAUUGGGUUUACUUUUUGGAUUAAUUUUAUUUUGAUCUCUUAUGUAUUAAAUAGUUAUUUUAAUUUUCUUUAAUUUAUAACAUAAAUUUUUUUUUUUUUUUUUUUUUAAAACCUUUUGGCGCCUUGACUAAACACCUAGUAAUUAAUUAAGAUCGUUAUUCGUUGCAGUUCUUAUAAACAAGUUGUAAUGUUAUACGCUUGUUUCAUCUAUCACAAGACUUCGGAUUGUAACAGACGUACGUGAACUUGUAUGUGAAUGAUAUAGUUCAACCGGAGGCGAUGAUUGUAACUUUGUCAAUUAUUACUUGAUUCAAAGCACCAUUUUUAUUUAUUUAUUUGAUAAGAGACAUGUUGAUCGUAGUCAAAGCAACACCUUCCAAAUAUCAAUAUAUUAGGACACUGCAGGUUACAAAGCAAAAGACUUGAAGCUUAUUUUGUUUAUCUUCUAGUUAAACCUCUUUUGAAUGAUCAACACGUCCACGACGGCGAUGACGACGGCUUGUGCGAGUUGAGUUAGCCUCUUGCACAGUGAUGCUGCUUUCCCCGAGCUUCUGACCGUUCAUUCCGUUAAUGGCAUCCCACAUUGAUUUCUCGUCUUUGAAAGUAAGAAAUGCAUAAACCUUUAUGUUUUCAGAAUCACGUUGAUCUGUAAGGGAAAUAAGAUUGUAGAAUAUUGUGUUGUCUUCAUAAUGAUCUCGUACAAGGCAUAUAUAUAUACACAAUAUAAACCCUAGAAUAUCUUGACGGCUAAGCUAUAGACACCGACAUACUUGAAGCCCAAUAUUACCGAGCCCAAUUCCCUAAUACUCCCCCUCAAGUUGGAGUGUGGAGAUUCGAAACACCCAACUUGGACAUUAGAACUUUAAACUGAGGACGUCCUAAAGCCUUGGUAAGAACAUCAGCAAUCUGAUCUUUGGAACGAACAUGAACCGCAGUAAUAACGUCUUCAGUAACCGCAUCACGAACACAGUGACAAUCACGUUCAAUAUGUUUAGUGCGCUCAUGAAAAACUGGAUUGGCGGCAAUGUGCAUUGCUGCCUCACUAUCGCAAUAGAACGGAACAGGCUGUGUAACCGGAUUGCCAAGAUCACCCAUCAACUGAACAAUCCACUGAAUCUCCUUUGUAGCAAACGCCAUGGCCCGGUAGUCAGCUUCAGCCGUAGAAUGUGAGACAGUACUUUGUUUCUUUGUUUUCCAAGAAAUCGGACAACCGCCAAGUAGAACCACAUAUUCACUAAGGGAACGUCGUGUCAAGGGACAGGAUUGCCAAUCGGCAUCACAAUAGACAGACAACUGAAGAUUGCUAUCGGAUUUCAAGAGAAUACUUUGUCCGGGGCAGCCUUUUAAAUAUCUUACAACACGAAGUGCAGCUGUCCAAUGAGACUGAUGGGGCUCUUGCAUAAACUGUGACAACAAGUGGACAGCAUAACACAAAUCUGGUCUUGUAACAGAAAGAUAGACAAGACGACCAACUAGGCGUCGAUAACAAAAAGGAUCCGAGAGGAGAGGACUUGUAUCCGACGCAAGUUUGUGGUUUUGCUCAAUCGGUGUCAAUGCCGGCUUUGCGCCAAGGAGACCUGUGUCAGCGACAAUAUCAAGGAUACAUUUCCUUUGAGAGAGGAAAAUACCUUCGUCAGAACGUGCUACUUCAAUACCGAGGAAAUAUUUGAGCUUACCCAGAUCUUUCAUGUGGAAACAUUCGCCCAAAUAUGCCUUAAACUUUGUCAAUCUCUCCAUGUUAUUGCUUGCAAUAACCAGAUCGUCCACAUAAAUCAAAACUCGAAUUUCUGUCCCGCCCUUCUCAAAUGUGAAUAAUGAGUAAUCGGAAUAAGAUUGCUUGAAACCGAACUUUAACAGCACAGUAGACAGUUUGGCGAACCAGCAACGUGGUGCUUGACGAAGUCCAUAAAGGGAUUUCCGAAGACGCAGAACCUUAGUAGGAUCAGAGUGCGUAAAACCCGGAGGGAACUUCAUGUAAACUUCUUCUUUGAGGUCACCAUGAAGGAAAGCAUUAUGGACAUCCAUCUGAUGCACUUCCCAAUUCUUUGCGGAAACAACACCUAAAAGACUACGCACAGUCUCCAUUUUAACGACUGGAGCAAAAGUUUCGUCGAAAUCUUCCCCUUCCACCUGAAUAUUUCCCAUAACUACCAACCGAGCCUUAUGACGUUCGAUAGUUCCAUCGGCGUUAUAUUUAAUCUUAUAGACCCACUUGCAGGGAAUAGCAAUCUUUCCAGGCGGAAGUGAUUCAACAUCCCAUGUGUGAUUAUCUUCGAGAGCAACGACCUCGUCUUGCAUAGGAGCAUGCCAAACCUCAUCCUUUACUGCUUCCGUAUAGCUCUUGGGCUCAACACCUGCAGUCACUGCUGCCAAGAAUGCUUGGUGCGAUGGUGAGAACAAGAGAUCAGAGACAUAAGCAUCCAAGGGAUACGGUGUCUUACCUUGGAAAGUUUCUGAAGACGCCGGAGUGGAGCAGAGUGAGGAGAGAUGGGGGUUAAGGGCGGCGGCAUUAUACGUAACAAAGCCUUUGAGACGCGUAGAAGGAAUGCGCUCUCGAUGUCCACGACCUAAUACUUCAACCUCAGUAACUGAAUCAUGGUCAACUUGUCCUGAGGAAGUUUGGGACAGCUCCAAAACAGGGGACUCUGUUGCAACAUGGGGUAUAUCUUCAGUAUUGGGAGAUGGAGUCUCAACUAGAGAUUCCGUCGGAACAGGCAGUGAGUCAGGUGCAGUAGAGGAAAGAGGGGCAGCGGAAUCUGGUGUUGGUGAAUUCGAAGCUUCCUCCACAGCAGCUGACUCAGAACUCCCCCUGACUUCGGAAACCGGAGGCGAUGGAAUUGCCCAAUCGUCAUCACAAAACGACGAAGACGAGAGAUGCUGAGGUGCGACUACGGGUGAGACGGGAGGCAAAGACGAAAAAGGAAAUUCAUCUUCAUAGAACACAACAUCGCGAGAGAUGAUGAACUCCUUCUUGUCUAAAUCAUACACUUUCCAUCCCUUUUGUCCAAAAGGAUACCCAACAAAACGCAACGACGACUGCGGGAGCCAAACUUGUCUUUAUCCCUUGACCGUAAGUGUGUGUAACACAAACUUCCAAAUACACGGAGAUUGUCAUACGAUGGUGUUUGUCCGUAUAAAAUCUCAUAAGGUGUUUUGCCCUUAAGAAUGGCUGUUGGGGUUCGAUUAAUGAGAUGAGUUGCAGUCAUGACAGCUUCUCCCCAAAACUUGAUCGGUAAGCUACGUUGGAAAAGUAACGCGCGAGAUACGUUAAGAAUGUGUCGAUGUUUGCGUUCAACUCUUCCAUUCUAUUGAGGCGUGGCAACGCACGAGGUUUGAUGAAGAAUUCCUUGUUCACGAAAGAACCGAGAUAGACACAUAAACUCUGUGCCAUUGUCACUAUGAACUACCUUCACCGUUUUAUGAAAUUGCCUUUCUGACAUCGCACAAAAGUUCUGAAGCACCAUAUGCACUUCUGUCUUUUCGAGAAGCAAAUAAGUCCAAACUGCUCUUGAAAAAUCGUCAACAAUAGUUAAAAAAUAAACUGCUCCACUGGAGGAUCUGGUUCGGUAAGGACCCCAAACAUCACAAUAAAUUAACUGAAAACAUUCAUUUGAUUUAUUUGAACUUGCAACAAAAACUUCUCUAGUCUGCUUUGCCCGGAAACAUGUGUCACAAGGACUAGGGGGCAGCAGAUUUAUUCAACGAAAACAUAGGUAAUGACGCUAAAGCAGAAAACGACGGAUGCCCGAGCCUCUGGUGCCAACAAUUCUGAUCAGCCAAGCUAACAACCGGACUGGUGACUCGAUGAACCCUUGCAGCCAUGACAUCUUUAAAAUAGUAAACCCCAUCCCUCUCUUCACCUGCUCCAAUCAGGGUCCUCGUGAAACGAUCCUGUAAAACACACAACGUAUCGGUGAGAAGAGCAAAACAAUUGGUCCGUUUUAGCAGCUUUGAAACAGAUAUCAACGAGCAAUUAAGAUUUGGCACAAAUAAAACAUUGUCCAACACAAUAUGGCUUGUUAAUGGAAAUACGCCCAUAUGAGUUGCAAAUGUGCGAUUUCCAUCAGCAAAACCAACAGCACAUGGUGAGAUACGAGACGUGUUCUCAAGAAAAGACAAAUUUCCUGUCAUGUGGUGAGAUGCUCCCGUAUCUAGUAUGAGAUCACCUGCACCACGCUUACCAGAGAGACGAUCGUUGGAGGAUUUAGUUUUCUCCGAAAUCAGCUGAGAAAGUGCUUUCCAUUGCUCUUCGGAAAACUCUGGGAACGAGGACGAAUUGGAUGUGGUAGCAUGAGCGUUGCUUGCGUGCACACCGCCAUUCCCACCUCGUCCUGCACCGCGACCUCGUCUACCUCCGCGACCACCUUUGUUCGCGGCUCUGUUCUGCGCACGAUCUUCCCACCAAGAAGGAAAACCGACUAGCUGCCAGCAGUUUGCUUUGACAUGGCCACUGCGACCACAAUGAGAGCAUUGAGUACCACGUUCAUGUUGUGAACCACCUCCAGACGUAUCAGAAGACGAGUCCCUUUUUGCCACAAAACCCACCGCGUUUUGCUGAGACUCGCGUUCUUUCGCGGAAUUCAGUCUUUGCUCUUCCCGAACUACCUUGGCAUAGAUUUCACCAAGAUCUGUGGAUGCAUCGGAGGAGAUGAUGGCCUGACACAUACCACCAAAACGAGCCUCAUCUAACCCCAUUACAAACUGAUGCAUCUUCUCUUCUUCACGCUCCUUUUCAUACUCAGCAGCAGCACUACAUGUGCACGCAGGAAGAGGUUUGUACAUGUCAAGCUCUUCCCAAAUUUUGGACAACCGUCCGUAAUACUCGAUGACGUCGUCACCGUUUUGUCGACAAACAGCUAACUUCUCCUUCAAGUGAUGCACGCGCACCUUGUUUCCCACAGAGAAACGUUUGCGAAGAUUCUCCCACAACUUGUGUGAAUCUGUGAUGAACGUCACCGUAGAUCGGACCCGCGGCUCAAUGGAAGUGCGGAUCCAACCAACAAUCAUCGAGUUAACCGACAACCACAGCUCAAGUUUUGGAUCGCUUGCUAGUGGCUUUGGUAUGGUGCCCUCGACGAAACCCAACUUCUGUUUUGCACGAAGGGCAUUAGUCAUCUCGCUUGCCCACUCAUUGUAGUUGUCACCGUUUAACAUCACCGACGUUAUUAGGGCACCAGGAUUGUCCGAGCCAUACAGAGUGUACGGCGUCGCAGCUCCAGCGUUGGAAACCAUUGGAGCGGUGGUCGUAAUUGUACUCACGGAAGACUCAACACCAUCGACCAUGGCUAAUCCUUGAAUCGAACUUUGAACAAGGAAGUAAACAAGAACACGCUAAAACGAACUUCGGAUUAGCGAAAGAGAAAAAAACAACUGCCUUUAGGUCUCAGAAACGAUGUCGCUCUGAUACCAUGUAAGGGAAAUAAGAUUGUAGAAUAUUGUGUUGUCUUCAUAAUGAUCUCGUACAAGGCAUAUAUAUAUACACAAUAUAAACCCUAGAAUAUCUUGACGGCUAAGCUAUAUACACCGACAUACUUGAAGCCCAAUAUUACCGAGCCCAAUUCCCUAAUAUGAUCUUUAAUGACCUGUGAAACAAUUUACAGAUGAAUCAAAACUCCAAUACCACGGUGCAUGGUAAAUUGAUCCCAAAAACAAAACAAGAAAACAAAAAAAACCAACCGUUGUAUAUGUAACUUCGCCAAAGGGAGAAAAUAAAAUGCACUUUCAAGAUCAUCUUCUUCAGUGUCCGAGUCCAGAUCGCCAAUAAAGCACGUGAAUUCGAUAUCUUCGGACGCCAUUUCUGAAAGAGAGAUAUAAGACAAUUUAUGGUUUUUAUAAGUAGAGAACAAUGCGACUUAUCAAGGUUAUGAGUGAGGGCUAGAGACGUUGAGUCAAUUUAUAGAAACUGUGUGAGGUUGAAAAUUUAUGCAUAUGGUCAAUGCAACACGUUGAAUCUAUUAAACAAAACUAUUCUUGAAAUCCUAAACUUUAGACAAUAUUUGAUCUUUAGAAUAGUUUCAAAAAAAAGUCAUAAGCAGAUUUCAAAGUGAAUUUCGUUUACCAAUUGUUUUUUUCCGGCUAAUAUCAUUUUUUUGGGGUAAAAAGGUGAUAAAUUACAAGAAACAAAUUAUUUUGGAAACAAAAAUGAUGAACAUUUUUUGUUAACGAUGUUUCUGAAUUCUCCCUUAGUUUAUAAAAUACAAGUUUUUUGUUUUUUUUGUUUAAGACCUAGUUCCUAAACUUUAGACAAUAUUUUCUCUUUAGAAUAUAGUUUCAAGAAAAAUUCAUAUGCAAAUUUCAAAAUGAAUUUCGUUUACCAAUUGUUUAUUUUGUUUCCCGGCUAAUAUCGUUGUUUUUUUUUGGUAGAAAGGUGAGAAAAUUACAAGAAAACAAAUUAUCUUGGAAACAAAUUAAAAUGAUGAACAUUUUUUUAACGAAGUUUCUGAUCCUCACUUAGAGAGAGCAUUUAUAUUUUCUUUUCAAAAAAUCAAAGUAGGCUCGCUUUUCCGUUAAUUCUCUGCUAACUGACUUUACACGGCGGCGAUGGCCGUUACCUCUGAAACUCCCGACGGCUCUAACGGCGGCGAUCCAAACAAGAAAUCAGAAGAUGUCGAGAAAGAAGGGAAAGAAGAAGAUGAGAAUCAAAAGAAAUACAGUAUCGUUCGAUUUCUUUCCCAAAUCUUCCACACGAACUCACCUAACAAAGAGAUAGAAGAAGAGAAUCAAAAGGAGAAACCUGUAGAUCAAGAAGAAGAAAUACAGUAUCGCUCGAUUUCUUUCCCAAAUCUUCCACACGAAGUCACCGAACGUUGCGUCGCACUCUUCCGGAGAUGCAAUUACCCGAGCCUAUCCCUCAUCUCCAAGGGCUUUCGCACUCUCACCGCUUCGCCGAGACUCUACGACGCUCGCUCGCGACCCGGCGUCACCAAAUCAGUUCUUUACGCCGCCUUCGGAUUCCUUCCAUCCCCAGGCCCGAGCUGGUACAUUCUCCGCCGUAACGAGAUCUCCUCACGACUGUUCAGAAUCGACGAACUCCCUUCGAUGCUUUGGGGAUCUGCCGUCGUCGCAAUCGGAUCGAAGAUGUACGUAAUCGGAGGAAGCGCCGGCGGGAAACCCUCAUCGGAUGUGACUCUAAUCGAUUGCAGAUCCCACACGUAUCGCUUGCUCCCGAGGAUGCGUAGGCCUCGCUGCCGGGCAGCCGCCGGAGUAAUCGACGGGAAGAUAUACGUAGUCGGAGGUUGCGCGAGGCGAUCUUCUACGACUUGGGUCGAAUCGUUCGAUGUAAAUUUCUGAGACUUGGAGUACAUUCGUCUCACAUCGGAUUUAGAAGCGAUUGGAGAGGAGAGUUUGUGACAUGUGCGGUGAUGGAGGAGAAGAUUUACAUGCUGGAUCCUGAUCGUUGUUUGAUUUACAAUCCCAGGGGAGGUGUUUGGGAAACUAGAGUUGAAGAAUUGAAGCGUUUGUGGAAAGCAUCGUCUUGUGUGGUUGAUGAUAGGUUGUAUUCGAUCGAUCCUGCGUGUAGUCCUGGAAGUCCAUUGGUCGUAUAUGAUCCAAAGGAGAGGACUUGGAGACCUGUGAGAGGUGUGUAUGGUUUGCCUAAUAGUAUUAAUAUCUCUGAUCAUGACUGUAAAAUGGCAAAUCUUGGUGGGAAGCUGGUGGUUUUGGCUAGUAAGAGCCCGUUCUUUAGGUCUGAUCAUCACGGCGUAGAAGAGAUUUGGUGCGUAGAGAUCAAUUUGAAAAGACGUCAAGGUGGUGAGAUUUGGGGGAAUGUGGAAUCAAUCAAUCGUGUGCUUACAUCAAUCGAGUCGCCUUACAUUGAGCAUUGUCGAACUGUUCCUUUGAUGAUGCUUGGGAUUGGUGUUCUUGCAGGUAUGUAUGUUUAUGUGAUAAAGUUAUGGCAUUUUCGUUACCCUCUCAAAGGCUUUACUUAUAGGACAUUCAUGAACUUGCAGGUGAAUCAAAGUGACUCAGAAGCUGUAUCUGACACCUCAAGAGUAACUCUUACUUCUUUACCUCUCUGCACAGUGUAUAUACUCUUUACAGAAUUAGCCUUGAGUAGAUUUCUUGAGCUGUAUAGAAGGUGGGCUAUUCCUUUAGCUGCCUUUAUACAAUAGUUCUUACGAAAUUUGUUGUUGAAUUGCAUCUCUGCACAGUGUUGAUGAUACAUGAUACUCUUACAGAAUUAGCCUUGAGUAGAUUUCUUGUAGCUGCCUUUAUAGAAAAAUUCUUAUGACAUUUGUUGUUGAAAUACAUCUUUAGUUAGCUAUGUUUUGGGGGUUUUGUGCCAGUGCACUAAACCACUAACAUAGUCUCAUGUUUUCUCUAUCAUUUUGCUAUCUUUUUUUUGUAUGUUCUGCAAGUCAAAUUCAAGAUAUAGCAGAAAUUAAACCUGCUUCUACUAGAAGAGCAAUAUGAAAUCCUUGGUUGAGAUAAGAAGCAUAACAAAUUAAUUUAGCUAACCGGUGGUUUUGACUUUAUGGGUAACUACAAUAUCAAAUUGAGGAAAUACAAAGACCUGAACUUAUCUACAUAGAAUGUGCAAUGUGAAGAGAAUAUUACCUUUAUGGGUAACAAAACCCAAUUUACUUAAACCAUAUGAGAAAUAUGAAAUUUUGGUUUAGAGAUGAAGCAAAACGAACGGUUUAGCUAUAACUUAUAGAUAACUACAAGUUGACAAUAUACAAAGACUAGUCAAAACACAACCAUCCAAAACUUUUAAAUUUAACAUUUGUUGACACCAUUCGAAGGAAAUAUAUAAGUCAAAUAAGGGUUUCUAAAUAGAAAACAGAGAGACUUGUGACUUGUGUGUAACGUUAAGAAAACGUUUGGUUGCUAGAGUUAUAGUAGAUUUCCUGUUCUUCUGAAUUUAACAAGACCCAUUGUGCUUCUACUAUGUGAAAUCUUGGUUCAGUUAUGUGAAGAUGUUACGUGAGCAAAACAAACCAAGUUGCAACUCAAAAUGUAGUUAACUGUAUGCUGAUUUUACAAGAAGAGUUUCAAAUAAUACUUUUGCCAAGAAAUGAAGAAAUGCCAUUUUUUUGGGUUAUGAUAAGAAAAUGGAAACAAGUAAAAUUGCUUAUAUAUCGUGGUAUAUUUUUUCUUGUUAUAGUUUUGAUUUGCUUAAUUUUGGUUGCAAAUUGAAGAAUUUUAAAUGUAAUAGUAAUCUUUUUACAAAGGAAGAAACCACAAUUUAGAAUUAAGUUAGAUUUUGUCACGUGAGUGUCCAAUCAGGUUUUUAAAACUACUAUUUUAUCUCUCGGUGUAUGCAAUUCAAUGACUAUUUGAAGUUUUAUUUGGUAAAUUAGGUCUAUUUUUUUGCCGCCAUCUUUAUUUUUUUUUGCCGUCAUUUUUUAGUCAAUAAUUAAAAACAAAACAGAACAAUUAAUGACUGAAGCGUAUAUCUAUCUACUACUAAUCAGUCAUCAGUAAGUAGACACAAGACAAGAAAAUCGAAUUAGGCCAUCAUAAUCUCUGAAACUACCGACGACUGACGGCGAUGGUUGUAAUCUCCGAGAUUACCGACGAUUCUAACGGCGGCGAUCCAAACAAGAAACAAGAAGAAGCGAAUCAAAGGAAGAAACCCAGAACUGUAAAGAAUCGCUUCGCCGAGAUUCCAGACGGAAUCACCGAAAUCAUCGUCGCAUUCGUCCGGAGAUGUCAGUACCCGACGCUCUCAAUCGCAUCCCCUACCUUUAGAAAUCUCAUCUCCUCGCUCGCGCCUCGGCGUCGCCGAAUGCUUUCUUUACGCCUCCGUCGGAUUCGCCUGGCCCGAUUUCCCGAUCUGGUACAUUCUCUAUCGAGGAAGAGAUGCUUCUCUACGACUGGGCAGAGUCGAUUCGCUUCCUCUCAUGCCUAAUUGCUUAGUAGACUUCGUCGUCACAAUCGGACCGGAGAUGUAUGUAAUCGGCGGAUCAUUCAGCGACGGAGAUCCCUCGACGGAUGUGACUCUCAUCGAUUGCAGAUUCCACACGAGUCGCUCGCUCCAGAGUAUGCAAGUGGCUCGCUUCGCCGCAGCCGCCGGAGUUAUCGACGGAAAGAUUUAUGUGGUCGGAGGUUGCGCGAAGCGAUCUUCUACGACUUGGGUCGAAGCGUUUGAUCCAAAGAUUUAUGUUGUUAGCUUUACGUCUGUAAUGGCGAAUUUCGGUGGAAAGCUGGUGGUUUUGAGCGCUCAUGUGCCUUCUUCUAGUAGAAAGCGUGCCGGGAAGAAGGAGAUUUGGUGCGUGGAGAGAAGGGAAGGAGGUGAGAUUUGGGGGAACGUUGAAUCAGCCAAGGUUGUUCAUAAAGUCUCCAACUUGGAAUCUGUUGAGAUUUGUCGAUCUGUGACCUUUUGAUGAUACUUGGGACGGUUUCUUGCAGGUAUGUAUGUUUCUGUGAUUGAUUACUGGCUUUUGAAUGAUGGAUUAUUCUCAUGUUUAGACAUUUUCUCUAGUUAAUUCUCUCGAGGGUUUACUUAUAGACAUUCAUGAACUUGCAAUUGCAGGUGGAGGGUUAUUGUUACAUCUAUGUAUAUUUUUGAGCAGCUUGUUGGUCUUAUAGCAAAUUUUGAAGCAGAGUAGCUUAGAGGCUGUUAUCUGACGCCUUAAAGAGUAACUCUUCCUUCUCAACAUUUAUUUUUCACAAUGUGUAGUACCAGUUUAUAAAUACCUUAGCCUUGAGAAGGUACCUUAGCCUUGAUGUAGAUUUCUUAAUGAAUAGUAGCAGUUUAUAAAUACCUUAGCCUUGAUGUAGAUUUCUUAAGCUGUAUAAAAAGGUUAGGCAAUUCUUUUAGCUGCCUCGAUAAUACAAUAUUCUUAAAGAAACUAGUUGAAACUUGAAAGGCAUUUUUAGUUAGCUAUGUUUUGGGUUUUUGUGCAGUUGCACUGAGAUGGUCUCACUAUAUAGCAAGUUUGAAAUCCGUUUGCUUUAAAAAAAACAUGGUUCUAUGCAAGUGAUCACAAUUAAACAUGAGAGAACCCAAUGUGCUUCUACGACACAAGAUGUCAAUAACAUGGUCAUUGCUUUUGGAAUCAGGGAAAAGAUUAACCAACUAGUAUUUUAACCGGUUGUUGUGAUAUUAAAGGCCAUUACAAAGACCAAGAAGCUUUAGGCGAUUAUUCUACACAACCCCUUUUAUUUGAUAUAUCGAAAUCCUCUCUAGUUUUCUUGGAGACAAUCUCAAACCACGAUUAUUUCUGUGAGACUCUUCCACAUGGAUGUAGCUACCAUCAAUCUCAAUGCCUUCCAUCAUCAAAACAGCAUAUGCAUAUCUCAUCGAUUCCUCCUCCUUGAAAGUAACAAAACCAUGUCCUAUCAUUGUGCUGAAUGCUAAGAUAAAGAAAAAAAAAUACAUGGUCACUGUUCCAAGUUCUGGCAAUUGCUUUAAUAAAUAAUAUAGAGAUAUUGGUUCAGAGAUGUGAAGAUGGAACUAGGAGCAAAACAAACCGGUCUACUAUAACCAGUUGUUAUAUAAUCUUAUAUUCUUAUGGAUUCCGCUUUUGAACUUCAGUAUGCUUUUUCUCUAUCACCAUUUGUCAUUCCACGAGAAAACUCUGAACGGAAUCGCAUGAAAACGUAGAAAUCUGAUCAUGAAGAUUGGAAUCAAUAGUUCCCGUGGAACGUCGUGAGGUGAUGACGAAAACGAGAUAAUAUGGGAGAGUUUGAAAAGAUGACAUAAUAACUGAAUCCCACAUCGGUAAUUAUCAAAGAUUUACUUUAAUAUAUAAAACUGUAAAUCAGUUAGUUAGAUCGUCAAUUGGGGGGAGAUAGGAGCUUAUGAUUUAUAUUCGUGGAGAUGGUUCCAAAAAAAUUUAACAUUAAGGCGCCAUUUCUAUUGGAUGAAUAUGAGCCAACCUAUUCUUACCAAUUGACCUUUUUUAAUUAUUUUCGUAUAUAAAACUAAAUUGUUACUAAUUUUUUCUCCACACCAUUAUUACUAAGACAAUUCUACAUAACUUUUAUUUUAUCUUAUGAAAUACGCUUAUAAUUCAGCAGAUUUUUGUUUGCGUGGCCAUGUGAGGAUUGACUUUUGUAGCAUCAUAUCUUCAUAUGACAAGGUUUAAAGGUUUUACAACGCAAUUGAGGUUUGAUUUGUACAUGAAAGCAAAAACCUUAAAUAGUGUCAACAACAGAUGUCAUAAUCAUGAGGCUGAUUCGAGAAUUCAUCAAGGGCAGAGAAUGAAUUUGACAGCUCAAUCUGAUAAGGUUGUUUUGCAUUUGCCGUACGGCUUUUGUUAUGUGACAGAACCGUUGGAGAAGACAGUGUCUCAUCUGGAGGCUUAGCCUUAAUAUCUUCCACAUGGAUGGAGCAACCAUCGAUCUCAUCACCGUUCAUUAGCAUUAUGGCAUCUCUUAUAGAUUUCUCGUCCUCGAAAGUAAUAAAUUCAUAUCCCCUCGAUAUUCCAGUCUCAUGGUCGUUGAUGAUCUGUAAAGACAAAUAUAAACGAUAUAGAUUAAACAGUAAGAAAGAAUCCAACAAACACAAGUUACUAGUAAAACGCGAAUGACACGAUAUCAAGGCGUAACGAACUUUAGAAUCGAUAACGUUGCCAAACUUUGAAAAGGCUCUCUUAAGAUCAUUUUCAUCAGCCUCCAUGUCAAGACCGCGAACAAAGCACUUGAAUACACCAAAUGUUGAUGCCAUUUAAAUGAGAUAUAUGAAGAGAAGAGUGAAAAAUAACUUAGGGUUAUAUAAAGAACAAAGAAACUUGAGAGACGUUUGAAUUAAUGUAUUGAGAUUUGAGAGCUAGGUUUUAAUUUUUUUUUUUUGUCCAACAGUUAGGUUUAACUUUUUAAGUUACAUGAUUUUAACUUCUUUUUUGUCAUGCAUGUCAUAAAUGCUAUUCAGUCUUUCCAAAUUUUAGAAGUCAGUAUAUACAUUUUGGAACUAGCGAAAAUUGUCAAAGUCCAAAAGAAGACUUUUGUUAUUUAGAGUUUCAAAAAAAAAAAAUUAAUAUGCAACUAAUAAGUAAACAUUUUCUCGAUAUAUUUUCAGCAGUAGUUUUGAAUUUCUGUAAAUGAGUAAAAACUACAACACAUUCUUUUGGUUGCCUCAUUGAAAUGCAUCUUUAGUUAGAUAUACUUUGGGUUUUUGUGCAGUUGCACUAACAUGGUCUCACAAUUACAAGUUCUUUUAGUUUGAAUGUAUAUAUAUAAUUCCUCUGGAAGUAAUCCAUACUAUAACAAAAAUCAACCUGGUUCUACUAUAUAUAUAUAUAUAUAUAUAUGAGCAAUAUAACCAAAACAAACCAAGCAGUUUAUAAAACUGGGAGUAAUUUAAUUGACCGUAUAGUAUGUGUACUAUUGAUGAUGAUGAAUUAUAAUGUUGACACAAUAUUUGCUCAAGCCACAGGAGCUC